GAGCUUCGAUGGUUAAAGUACAACAUAAGCAUCAGUAAUCAGUUGAUGGUGUAAAAUAGAUAAAUAAGCUAUUUAUAGUAUUCAGGCCACAGAAAGUUUACCGCAAAUUUGAAAAAGUAGAAAUCGGGAAAAUAUUGUUUGGCUUUGAAGCUUAGUUCCAUUUUCAAGUCAUGUAAAUUUAAGGUUAAAUUGUAGCAGUAGUCUAUACAUCAAUUUUAUUUAUUUAUUUAUAUACAUAGAGGAAAAUGAUGAUUGUAUUUAUAAAUUAGGCACAAAUAUUAUAAGCCACAAGGGCUGAUAAAAAUAUGCACAAAUGGUUAAUACAAAGAUAGAAGCAUAGUAACCACGCAUGGUUAAUCCAUAUACAUAGAAACACAUAGGCAACAUCAAGUGCACAAGAUGUAUCCAGUACUGGCCUCACAAGGCCAAAGAAAUUUCAACAUAAAGGCUGCAAGCUUGAACAAGCCAGACAUGAACCGCAAUGCAUAAAACUACCAAUACAACUACAACUGUAUAGGGAUCCAUCCUAAUAACAAUAAGGCAAACAUGGGAAAAACUUUCCUAGUGACUUGAGCCAGCUAAAAAGCUGAUGAUCUGGAGAGCAUCACUCUUGAAAAUAACUUUUCUAUAACUUCUCUCAACCACCAUAAUUUCUCCGAAUCUAGUCCAAUGACGUUAAGGACAAAAACUAGCCGCUAACUGGCAUGACUCUCCUAGAGAGACUAAGAACACCCAAAAAACUCAACUAAGUUUAUGGAAUCAUAAGAUAAAAAACACAGAAAACUCAUAGAGUUUUUGGACUUGAUUGAAUAAACUAACUCAAAAUAAAAAAUUUAAAGUAACGUCAUCAAAAAGAAAACCAACCGCCCCUAAUCUUCCUAGGGACAUGACAUAGAGAGCACCACUUAGGGCCAGUUUGGCAUUGCUGUGCUGUGAAAAUAAUCACUGUCAAAUUUGCUGUGAGAGAAAUCAGCUGUGAGAUAAAGUAAUUUGGCGUUUGGUAAAAUUUUUGUUAAAAGUGUUGUUGGUAUUGAUUUUACUCAUAAUCAGAAAAUGAUUGCCAAUUAAUCAUUAAACUCAGCUCCUCUUCGAAACUGAUUCCUGCAUAAUCAGAAAAUGAAAGCACCUCAUUAGCUGCUUUCCUUUAUAGCUUUCUCUCACAGCAAUUUUUAACAAUAAAUGAUUUUCUCACAGUUUACCAAACGGGUUGGGCUUCCCAAAUUUUUUAAAAAAUCACUUAUCACCUCAAAUAAGCAAUGUCAAACGGGCACUUAGUCACUCUAGGGCCUUAACGCACCAAUGAGCAGUAAAUCUACCAUGACCAUGCCGCACCUCAAAGAGCAGCCUCAUAAGAUGAGGCAAAACCAGAGCGAGCCCAAAUCUAAGACAAUAGAUCUGUCAAAAAGAUGAGUAAAUCGACAUAAGUCCACAAAAGUUGAAGAACACUGAAAAUUCAAAGGGAUCCGAGGGGAAAUUACCCUAGAGUAAAAUUAAUGUUUUAUAAGCAUUUUAUUGAAGUAGGGUGUAGUGAUGGGAAGAGAGGGAGAGGGACCCUAGAGUAAAAUUAAUGUUUUAUAAGCAUUUUAUUGAAGUAGGGUGUAAUGGGAAGAGAGGGAGAGGGAAAUUACCCUAGAGUAAAAUUAAUGAUGUGAUUUGUGAGUUGACAAAAUAGACAAAAGACAAACACAUUGAAUUAUACUAGUAUUGUUUAUGACAUCCCAUAUUGCAUCAUUCUUGGGACUGUAAAAGGGUACAAAUCUCUCCGUCAGUCUCUCUCUCUCUCUCUCUCUCUCUCUCUGAGACGCACAAAGAAAAAAAGAAACUUAAGAAGAAAAAAAAAACAGAGGCCAAUUAAUCAAGUUUAUCGAUCCCAAAGCCGUGUCAAUCACUCAACUCAAACGUGCAAAAUGUCAAACGUCGGGUAGAUCAACCAACUUCUUAACCAACAAACAACCAUUUAAUUACGCAACAAAUAAACCCAUCAAAAGCUGCCUUAAUUAUAUGAUUAAUCUAAGUCAUCUUCCUUCCUUCAACCCAACUCAAACAAGCAAUCAUCACACCGACCCCGCAUCUACCAUCUUCCCCCACACGCAGAUCAUGCUUUUGAAUAUAAAAAAAAAUUACCAAGAAGAAACAGCAGGAAGAUGAAGAACAUGAACCCGAAAUGAUCAAAAUUAAAUUAAUGAAAAACACUUGAUUGAAGAAAGAACAUGUACAAACAAAACAAACCAAUUGGUUGUGGAGGAAUGUAAUUCACUCUCAUGAACAUUGAUGAAGGGCAUACAAAUAUAUAUAAUUCAGAUCCAAUUCUCUGAAUAUAUAACCUGGAAAUUCUCUCUUCUUUCCCAACCGACCGGCAUGAAUUUAUCCGCCACCGUGUAAUACAAAUUAUAUCAACGUAAUUUUCACGUUUUGGACCAUACAAAUCCCAUAUAUAUAAAACCCAGAAACCAAAAACUAUGAAAAAAUAAGAAGAAGAAAAACGGUGUAAUAAUUAAUACUCCGUUCCGUUCCCGUUCAAUUGAAUUGGCACCGGUGGAAGCUUUGUUUAUGUACAGGGGCAACUCCUCUUGGCACGAGAAUUAAUCAAAAAGCUCGAUCUGAAAAAGUCCUCGACCUCAUCCUGGUUCGCCGUCUCGAAGAAUUGCAGCUUUCUCUUGCAUGAGGAAGCCGCCCGUCUGGCCGGCUUUCGCGGUGCAGGCGGGCAUGUAACAACCGUGGGAAUUUUGUGCUCUUUGGAUGUUGGCGUGCGGCAGCCGUGAACGACCUCAUCGAGAGCAUCAUGGUCGUGGAGAGAUAAUGGUUGUUGGGCUUUUGGGGUUGAGAUUUUGAUGGUGAGGAAUCUCGGAUUUGGGAGGUCUUGGCAGAAGUCUAGACCAGUGGCCAUGGUUGAAGAUGAAGAUGGAGAUGGUGAGGAAGAAAAAUGGAUAUAUAUUUUAGAGAGGUGUUUUGGUGUGAUGUGGGUUUUUUUUGUGGGGCUAUUAUAUAUUUAUGGUUUUGGGAUGGGGAGGGUAAAUGGGGCUCAUCACAACGUGUUAAAGAGUGGGAAGGCGUGCGUUUGAAGGUAAUACAGCAGAGAGACAAACAAAGAAAGCUCAUUGCUGCUUCUUUUAUUCUAUCUUCUCAGCUACUAGCGCUACAGUUCCCUUUAGGAAAAUGACCCCUACCCCCUCCCCUCUCUUCGUGACACGUAUAGUCCAGUUGAAAGAUUACAUGCGUUUCAGAGAUAAUUACAGGCGGACAAAUUUGGACCCGUAUAAUAUCCUUUUGUUUCUAUUUUUGAGUGGCUGAGCUGGGAGGAGUGAUUAUGGGAUGUCCUUUUGGGUAUUAAAAUUCGAAUUAAUAACCAACAAGUAUAUGCAGGCAGCUUAGAGAUGCAGGUGAUGAGCUUAGGGUUACCACCAUUUCUGUGAUGUCAAUGUCGAUCUUUAAUUUCCUUUUUGGGUAGAUAUUUGGGAUUGAAGUUAACAUUAUUGUAGUUUCCUAUCUAUAAUUAUGAAAGUUUUGGUAAUGUGUUAAUAUCGUAAUGAAUACUAUGAGUUACAUACUUGGACCAUACAUGUUACUAAUUUGUGCAUUAAUGUCACAUUUACUUAUCGGAAAGGGAUAAGAGAAGAAAUAAAGAUAUUCUAAUUCAUAUUUACUACAAAUAUAUGAGUCCAAUUACUUAUUACUUACUUUCUCUGCUCCUAAAUUUUCCGAUUUCUUACUUUUUCAUUCCAAAUAAGUAAAUGUACCAAAUAACCGAGGUAAAAGAUAUGAAGACUGCUAGCAACCUUCUCUCUAACCUUCUCCCUUUUCCUUAUGACAUGUGUCACUCUCUUUACACUUAAAACAAUGUCAUUAAUGUAUCUUACAAACUAUCUUUUGUUUUUCAAAUUUACCCUUAUUAAAUGUAUUAAAUUUUAUGUUUCCUUUAAUUUAUACAAAAAAAAAAAUUAAUAACUUUCUUAUCACCUUAUUUAAUAAAAAGAAAACAUGAAAGAAAAUAUCUGUUUUUAAAAAAAUAUAUAUAUAUAUAUAUGAGUAAUAAAGCCCAUAAUUUUGUUGCACAUAACAAUUUUGAAAGAAAAACGUCACUUCAAGACCACAACCAAGUAAACAGCAAAAAAUUGAUAUUUUUUCUUAUUUAAUUUUUUAAUAAGGUGGUAAGGAAGUUAUGAAGAAAAAAAAAAUUAAGUUGAAAGAAACAUGAAAGUCAAUACAUAUAAUAAGGGUAAAUUUGGAAAACAAAAGAUAGUUUGUAUGAUGCAUUAAUGACAUAGUUUUAAAUGUAAGGAGAAUGACACAGCAAAGGACCCACUAAUGUAGUGAUUUGGAGUAUUUACUCCCCCAGGCAAGGUCCAGGGUUCGAUUCCUAGCAUCCGUGUUGUGUGUGUGAGUUUAAUAUGCUAUCGCCCUUUUCAAUAGGAAAGGUCCUCAUAAAAAAAAAAAAAAAAAAGGAGAAUGACACAAGUCAUGUAAAAAAAAGAGAAGAUCCAAAGAGAAAAUUAGAGAAAAAAUUGCUAACAUCCCCCAAAAAAUACAUCGACCGAAGAAAAACAAAGGGUACGUAUUACGUAAUAAUUAGAAAUUUAAUUUAGUUGUACGACAAGCUGGUGAGGUUUUAUGGCCAAGGCCUUGCAUGAAUCAGAUGUCAUUCUCCUUGCUUUUUUGUGUCUUUUUUAUUUUUAUUUUUCGCUUUUGUUUUGGAUCGACAUAUUUAACGUAAAUCUUACGUUAAUGGCAAAAGGUCGUAAUUCUAAAGCUUAAAUUAUAAUCAACUCGCUCUGGAGGAGAGUGCAUCCCACACUCAGCCAAAAGUGGGUUUGGCACGAUAUUCAUGUUCAUUUUUUGCUUUUUGGCUAACCGCACGAUGUUCAUGUUCCAUGGUGAGCUUUUUAAUAAUCCGCAAUUAAUUUUUUUUUUCUUUUUAACUAAAUAGUACCUUUUUUUUUUCUUGCAGUUUUUCUAUUUCAUUUUUUAGAAGAAAUAAUAUUUUAUUAAAGAUAAUUAAGUUGAUUCUAAAAUAUAACAUUCGGCAGUUUCCUGUAUAAAGCGAAAUGUACUAACCAAAGUGUAACUGCAUUUGCAGUGUGAAAAAUAUGGCUGAAACCAUCCCUGAAGACCUUGCAACCGAUGUAUGACUAACAUACUAUAUUAUCUUUUUAUUCCAAAAAGAACUUAGAUAUGAAAAAUAUAUAUAUAUAAAAAAAAAAGAAUGAUAUUAAAUUAAGUGGUUUACCAAUAUAAUUUAGGAGUUAAAAAAAAUUCAUAAUUAACUAAGGUGAAUUUGUAAAAUUGAUGAGUAUGGGUUUUUAUCAAAGAUGGACCUACACACUGUCUAGCCCAAGUGAGUUUGUUUUUAAAAUUUUUAAAAUUUAAUUUAUUUAAUUUUUUUUAUAGUUAGUAUAUAGGUGUGAAAAUUUAGCCCAAUUCAUUUUGAAAUCCUAAGUAUAUAUGUUUAUACUUAAGAUAAAUUUUUAAGAGAUAUUUAGUGAUAUACCCAUUUCUAGCACUAAUAUUAUAAAUAAACCCUACACAAUUGAAUUCCUAUAAACAAACCCAAAAAAAACCCAAAAAAUGAUAGCUGGCCUUAUUGAAUUUAAUAUUGAUUAUUAAAUUACUUUGAUGCCCUAUUGAGUGUUUUGGGUAUUUUUAUGAGAUUUUGGGGUUGGGCUUGUUUUAAGAAAUUGAUGGCAGUUUUGUAAUUUAUAAGAAGUUAAAAGCUUUUUUGUUAUGUUGUAAAUGGGCUUUGGGUGUGUUUCUAAAGUCCAUUUUAUAUAGGAUAUUUUUAUAAUUUAGGCCCCCAUAUUGGGUAUAAUAGUGAAUCUCCCAAUUUUUAAAUGUAACGAGUAUUUAUAAAAUUUGAAAUACAACUUGAAAUACAUCAAACACGUACAAAUAAAUAUAUCUCAUUUCACUAAGUUUUUAUUAUAUAUAUAUAUAUAUAUAUAUCAGAGAACUUCCAUUGAGGGAUCCCUCAAAUAAGUUUAUUUGAGGGACACCUCUUGUAGGCCCCACUACGGAUUGUAUUUCACUAAUCCAAACCGUCUAUUUUGUAGAUACUCAUUCAAAGAUCAUCUCUACAAAAAAUCACUUGAAUCCGAUAUCAUGUGACCACUCAAUUGAGUUAUUGAAAUUUUAGUACUUUUCUUAAAGCACCGUGUUCAUUGAUUUUGUAAGACACAAUUGGAUGUCGAAACGGUUUCCGAUCUGUCUAAUUUUUUGUAAGGAUGAUCUAUGAAUGAAUACCUAAAAAAUAGAUGGUUUGGAUUAUUGAGAAAAGAAUUGUAGGGUACUCUAAAGGGCGUCCCUCAAAUAAAAUUAUUUGAGGGAUCCCUCAAUAGAAGGGAACUGUAUAUAUAUAUAUAAAAUUUCUUGACCAUAUAAAUCAAAGUGAAAGUACUAUGAAAUACCUAUCUAAAUUUGGGGGUGCAUUUAUUCCAAUUUACAGACAACAUCUUUAUUAGAUAUCAUACAAUGCCUACGUAUAAAAACUAGAAAUAAAAAUAAAAAAACCAUGGCGCUUUUGGCCACCAAAUUGUCAACUCUUUCAAAUAUUUUAUUUUUGAUGGUGGAUGGAACCUACCAAUAUAAGUAGCUUUUAAUGAUAAUAAAAUAAAUUUUUUGUUGCAAAGGAUCCACUAAUGUAGUGGUUUGAAGUAUUUACUCCCUCAGGUAAGGUCUUAGGUUCGAGUCCUAACAUCUGUGUUGUGUGUAUGAGUUUAAUAUGCUAUCGCCCAUUUCAAUAGAAAAGAUCCUAAAAAAAAUAAAAUAAUAAUAAUAAUAAUAAUUUUGUUUCGGGUUUUUCGGCACCAUGCAAUGGACUUAAAAUUUUGGCCUCAUCUUUGUAGAGUGCCUUGUUGGCAUGUUGUUCUUUUGUUUUGGCAGACAUGUUGGCAUGUUGCUCACGCACUUCCACCAUGUGCGCGUAGACAUGAAGAUAUAUAUACACCUAAUAAAAACACAGCAAAUCUUCUCUCUUUCUCUCUCUCUCUCUCAAACGCUCAAAACGGUGCAUUUUAUAUAGAUAUAAAUAAUAUAGCAGCAUAGGAUACCAUGUAAGAGCCUUCAAUACGCUUAUCUACCAAUACCAAAAGAUCUUUCGUACAAUAAAAAAUCCAUCUACCAAAGAUCUCUCUCUCUCUCUCUCUCUCUCUCUCUCUCUCUCUCUCUCUCUCUCUCUCUCUCUCUCUCUCUCUCUCUCUCAUACCAUAAAAAUAAAAAAUAGAAAAUAGAAAAUAGAAAAAUAUCGAAAUGUUAAAUAAUAAAAUGAAAUAAAAGUAUGGAUUAGUUUACCAAAUACCAACCUUUUAUGAAAUUGCAUCUUUCCACGUGAACUGUCCCCUCCCUCUUGAUUGGUUUUCACCGUCAAUCAUUAGCCUAUAAACCAAAUUUAUUUUUUUAAUCACAUAUUUUAACAUGCAAAAUAAUAUUCCUUUUCACCACGCACCAGAUAUUUCCAAAAUUUUAAUUCAAUAAAAUAAUUUGGUUCAUGUAUCUUAACAAUUAAAAUUUGGAUGAGUUUAGAUCCAAAAUUUUGUGUUUUUAUUGUUGGUUGUGGUAGGGAUUGUAUAAGUUUUUAUGUAAACUUUGAUUGGUUAUAAAAUAUAACUUUGAUUGGUCGAGCGGUUGAGUUUUGAUUCUACUUCACCGAAUAUUGCUUGUAUAAAGAGAAAGUUGAUGCUCUUAAUAAUCACCUCUCGUAUAUAUAUAAUUAUAAAUACAUUUAAUCAUUUACAAUAUACAUCUAGGUAAGAUAGAGUUAAAUCAAGAUCAAAUCUAUGGAAGCUUUAUCGUGAGGUAAACCAGACAACAACAUUCCAAAUCUGACCUCGUUAAUCACCACUUUAUUCUUCAUGUCAAGGUAAAGAUAUAUGCUUAAGAAUUAGAGUCUUUAUCUCCCCUUUUAAUAUAGUAUUAUACCUUUUUAUAUGUACACAUAUGUAUAUAUAUAUAUAUAUAGUAAUACACCUUUCUACAUAUAUAUAUACACUUUUUUUUAUAUAUGAAAUCAGGGUUCUUUCUUCUAUCUAAUUAUUUUUCGUUUAUUUAAUUAAAGUUAAUUUAUUGAGUGCUUUUGACUGGAUUAGAAUUUAAAACUCAGGUGGUGAUUUGUAUUUUUCACAUUAAUGGAGUAGUUAUUAUUUAUAAAUUAAUAAUAUAUCUAUUACUGUCUGCAUGCAUGAAUGAUGUAUCGAUAUCUGCUCUCUUGCUUUGCUCAAAACGGGGAUAUGCGAUUUUUUAUAAAAUGAUUUUAUCCAUGAUUGUCAUGUAAAGAAGGGGGAAAAAAAAACAUAGAGAAGAGAUAAGUCAACUACUGUCCAAAUGAUUUUGGAGAUCGCUACACCGUGGUUUAUGUAUUAUAUUUUCUUUUUUGAAAUUGUCUUACUCUGAGUCUAUGACGUAGCAAGCUAGUAUUUUUCUUUUUGGGAGCGUUUGGUAUUCUAUUUGAGUAAGAAAUUCAAAAAUUUUGAUUUUUCUUGAAAACAAGGAGUUCUAAAAUCUAUUUUGUAUGAUUCAAAAACUUGUUUGGUAGACAACUUGAAAACUGUUUCUAGAAAAUGCUUCUAAAGAAAAACAUAUAUUUUUUUUGUCUUGAAGUGUUUAUAUAUUUUUUAGUUUGGGUUUUCAAAACUGAGCAUAACAAAUAGAUUUUUUUGGGUCUUGGACUCAAAUACUGUUUUUAAAUUUUAAAUUUUGGAUUAUAGUAGAAUACCAAAAUGCCCUUAGCUUGCCACACUUUUUUACUCGUUGUGUUCAUUUAGUGUAUUGUGCAUAUGUCAGGUUUUUCUUUCACCUUUUAGAGCAACUCCACCCAUAAGGGCAAAGUCUAAGGCAAGGGCAAGCAAGGGCUGUCACUAUUCAUAUGAAUAGUGGCAGCCUUGCCAUUUGUGGUUCCACCCAUGAGGGCUAAGUCUAGGGUAAAUACUAUUCAUUGUACUUUAUUUCCUAUUUUUUUAAUACUUUAAACCAUUAAUUUUGAUAAUCUUUUGUAAUUAAAUUUUCGGAUAAUAUUUUUGGUUGUCACGUGUCCAUUGUUUUCAGAAAAGAUUUUCGGAUGAGAAUUCCGAUUGCCACGUGUCUUAUUCCAAAUAAAAUUUUCGGAUAUUCAUUAAAAAAAAUUAUAAUCUCAGAUUUCAUAUAACAUUUUCACCCUCUAAAAUUGUACCACGUGUCCUAUGUCAGAUAAGAUUUUCAGAUAUUUAAAAAAAAUUAUAAUCUCAUAUUUCAGAUAAGAUUUUCACCCUCUAAAAUUGUGCCACGUGUCAUCUCUGUCAGAUAAGAUUUUCAGAUAUUUUUUUUUAAAUGAUAAUCUCAGAUUUCAGAUAAGAUUUUCAUCCUCUAAAAUUGUGCCACGUGUCAUCUUUAUCUUCUGAAUCUCUCUAUAAAACUACACCAGAGGCCUCAUACCUCUCACACCUUCUCUUAUCUAUUCCUUCAUUUCUCAGAUUUUACAAAACACAUUCUACUCUCAAUGUCAAACUUGAGGAGGGUGUUAGAGAGGCAACAGAAAGAAAGGGAAGAAAUCCGGCGUAGACGUACUGAAGAAGAUCGGGGCGCCGAUGAAGAAGAGGAACAAAUGCUUGCAGUAGCGGUGUGUAUGCUUAAUCAAUCAAGACAACACCGUCGUCCUCGUGCCCCAAAUGAGGACAGACGUAGAGAGUCUGGAGGUAAGAAUCUCUUGGAGGAUUACUUUAUCCCAAAUUCGUUAUAUCCUGCUCAUAAGUUUCAAGAGAGAUAUAGAAUGCAGCCACAUUUGUUUCAAAAAAUCAUGCAUGAUAUUUGUAAUUACGACACAUACUUCAUUCGAAAGCAUGAUGCUGUUGGAGUUGUGGGUCUUAUCCCGGAGCAAAAACUUACAGCUGCUUUGCGGAUGCUUGCUUAUGGGGCAUCUGCAGAGCAGGUGGAUGAGAUUGUAAGGAUGAGAAAAUCAACUAUCCUAGAGUGUUUGGUGAGAUUCUGUGAUGCAGUGGAAAAUUUGUACACGAGGGAGUACCUUCGCAAACCCACGCCGAGGGACCUGCAAAGGUUGCUACAAAAAGCAGAGGCUCGAAGUUUCCCAGGCAUGAUUGGAAGCAUUGAUUGCAUGCACUGGCAGUGGAAGAAUUGUCCUACUGUUUGGCAAGGAGACUACGGGAAUCGAAAGGGCCAAAAAAGUAUAAUCUUGGAGGCCGUAGCUUCAUUCGACUGUUGGGUUUGGCAUGCCUUCUUUGGGGUUGCCGGAUCUCAGAAUGACCUGAAUGUCCUUGGUCAAUCCCCGGUGUUCGACAAGGUAUUGCGAGGUCAUUCCCCCCAGGUCACGUACCAAAUCAACAAUACCAUAUACUCUGGUGCGUACUACCUUGCCGACGGAAUUUAUCCUAGGUGGACGACAUUCGUGAAAACAAUUCCGAAUCCCCAAUUCGAGAAGGAAAGAAGCUUUGCUUCCUUUCAAGAAGGUUACAGAAAAGACGUGGAAAGGUGUUUCGGUAUCUUGCAAGCUCGUUGGGCAAUUAUCAGGGGUGCUGCUCGAAUGCUAGACGAAGAGGUGUUGAGGAGUAUUAUGAUGACUUGCAUCAUCCUCCACAACAUGAUUGUGGAGGAUGAGUAUGACUACGAUGCUCCAGAGGUGUUUGAACCCGAUCCCAUGAACACGGCAUUGACAAGAAUAUAUGAAAGGCCGAUGGGACCAAAUGGACUACCAAUGGAGCCCGAACCGUUAGUUCGGGAUGGUCGAUUCAACAACCCCAUGAUUGAUCGUUAUGAAGAAAUGCAAUCUUCAUAUGUUCACGAGAGACGUCAAGUUGACUUGAUCGAGCACUUGUGGGAGAUGAAAGGCAAUCACAAUGGAUGAAGUCAAGAUUAGUGCUUUGUUUGGAAUUAUGCUUUGUUUUUUAUUAUGCUUUAUUUUGUGUGUGUUGUUUUAUUGGAAUUAAUGCUUUAUUUUUUAUUAUUAUUAUGCUUUUGUGUAUGGUUUGUUUUGUGUGUUGUUUACAAUAAAUUAAGGUUUGAUUUUAAUUAAUCUUUGUUUUGAUGCUCAAAUAUUUUUAAUAAAUAGUCAUAUUAUUUAAUGCUUUGUUUAUUUAAUGAAAAGGAAACAAUACAACAAAUUAAAGGAUAAUACAACAAUACAACAAUACAACAAAUUAAAGGAUAAUACAACAAUACAACAAUACAACAUAUGGCAAAGGUGUUUCAAUACAACCUAAUGGUUUUCAUCAUUUAACCAAUCCGUAUUGCUAGGUCCGUCGUCAUGGAAAAGUCUUCUUCUCAUCACAUCCCUUCGUCUAUGCUUCCAAUAUGCCUUUGUUUCAGGAGACAUAUGGCUCGUAUCCAUGACCAUAAUUUUCAUCUCUUUAUCAUCCAUGUCUUUUUCUUGUGCAUGCUGCUGUUGAAUUGCAAAUAUUUCCUCUCGUGCCUUGUCCACUUCAUCUUUUUUCAAGUCUCUCUCAAUUCUUAGUGAGGUGUUCUUAGCUAUUUGCUCCAAUAAUUGUAUACAUUCAUUGUUCGAAGUGCCCCCUCUCUUGGCCUUUGCCGCCUUUCUCCCAAUCGGUCUCGGCGGACGUAGGAGUGGUGACUCCGUUUCCAUUGGAGAGUCCAAUGGUGAAUCGGUUGAUGGUGAAUCAUGGAGUGGCGUCUCAUUCAACACAACCGAAGGACCGGUGGGAAUAAUUUUGAAUCUCGAACAAUCCUUCACAACUUCCCAACAUUGAAAAUGCACGAAACUUUUUUUGCCUUGCCCCAUGGCACCGAACCACAUUUGUGCUUGUAUGAUCUAUUAAAAAUAAAUAAUUGAAGUGCAAGAAAAAAAAAUUAUUAUGCAAGAAAAUUAUACUAAUUUGAAAUGCAACAAUAAAAUUAAUUAUGCAAGAAAAUAUAUACAAAUUGGACAUGCAAAAAGAAAAAAAAAAUUAUGCAAGAAAAAGAAAUAGAAUAUGCCAAAAAAAAAAAAGUUACAUUAAAUUGAUGAAAAUGGUAUUAUAAAUAUUUUACCUCAUCGGAUAGAUUUUGACCGCUUCGAAUGUUCUCCCUUACUUUUGUCAAGGCAUUUCUCCAUUUGCCUAACUCUUUAUUUAGAAGUUUCCAUCUACUAGACAACGCCAUUUCGGUCCGAAUGGAAUCCGAUCUUUGACAAAAUUCUCCAUGAAUUUUGCUCCACAUAUGAUGGAACUUUAUCUCAUUGCCCGUGAUAGGGUCAUGACUAAUGUUCACCCAAGAGUGACACAACGCAAUAUCUUCCUGAGUUGACCACGAACUCCCGGUUUCGACAGAAGAUGCCAUUUGUUUGUUUGUUUGUUUGUUUGUUUUUUUUUUUAUACAAAUGGAAAGUAGUAGAAAAAUGUGAGUGGAGGAUAAAAAAUAUUGGAAGGAGAAGAGUUUGUAUGAAGAAUUGGUGUGGGAAGUGAAAAAUGUGAGUGAAGAGUAAGAAAUAUUGGAAGGAGAAUAGUUUGUGUGGAGAAUUGGUGAGGAAAGUGAAUAAUGUGAGUGGAGAGUAAAAAAUAUUGGGGAUGGAGAAGAAUUGUAUGAAGAUUUUGUGUGAAAAGUAAAUAAAAUGGUUAGGUAUUUAUAGGGAAAAAAUACAGAAUUUUUUGGUAUUUUUUUAAAAAAAUUUCAGAAUUUUUCAGAAUUUUUUUAGCAAAAAAAAUGAGGACCAUCAGAUUUCUGGAAAAAAAUCCAUCGGAGCGUCCCUGGCGCGACAUGUGGCUUUUUACCGUUGGUUGCUGUCAGGGCUGACGUCAUCGCACGAAGUUAAAAUUUUUUUUUACCGUUGGCGCGUGUAAUUCACGCGCCAAAGGUAAAAAAAUUUAAAUUCCGCGUGCGCUGACGUCAGCAUUACGUCAUCCAACUUGGGCUCAAGCCCAGGCUGAAGUUGCCCUUGGGCCUGCCCGGGGUCGUGGGACCCAGCUGCUGCCCGGGCUGUCUUCCUCGCGCUGGAGCGACUUCGGGCUCGCCUAGGGGCCCUUUCACCCGGUUUGAGUCCUGCGCUGGGCUCGCUCUUAUGAGGACUAUUAAGUAUAUGUUAAUUCUCAAAUCUUUUUUUUGGAGAACAGGAUUUCCUUUUAAAUGAAAAAAAGAAACUAAAGAUUAAAUUUAUACCGUCGAUGAGGUCUAGCCCAAUAUGAAAAAAAAAAAAAAAAAAAAAAUUAAAAAUCCCAAUUACUAAAUAACCUAGAGCUAUUAUGUGGAGAAUUUGUUAACAGCUCAAAAUGACCACCUCAAUGAGAUUGCAUCACUUGUAUGGCUUUAACAGUGUUGAGGCCCAAAGAAUUCAAGAGUUGGGUUCAAAUAUAUUCCAAGUCUAGUGCGAUACUUUGCUAAAGAGAAAUUCAAUUUGAGCACGCGAAAGUUCGUCAUACACGCUCGCAUGAGUCACGAUCCACAUGCCAUGCCAAAUAAAUAUGUAAUCCGUCACGCUAAGGAUUGAAAUGAGCCUAUAAAAUGCACUAGCUCUACGAACCCAUGCUAAUUAUCCCAUCAAGCAUCAUAUCCCUUUUCAAAAAUGAUAAAAUUCAAGCACACCAAUCGACAUGCAAUGCCAAGCAGAAAACCCUUAUUUUUGUACCUAGCCACACUACAAGCUUAAGUGGGCCCAAGCGACGCAAAUGGCAGGGGCUUGCUGAGUGGGUUGUGGUAUGAUGAGCUAAGAAAUGGAAGUUUUGGGCUGCUUGAGAGCCCCAAAACUCGAGCCCAUUUCUUAAGCCCAAAUAUGUGGGUAAGCAUAAAAGAGAGGAAAAUGUAGCCCAUUACUUUAGAAAAUUGGCCCAUCCCCUUAGUAGGCUAACCCAUCACCCUAGAGAAAGGCCUAAAUGACCAAGAAAAUAUCUGAAAGUAAACCAUGACAAAACCCAAGGGUUACUCAUGUAUACAGGCUGCCUGGGAGACUCCAGCACGUGGUCAAAAGCAAACCUCAAGGUAGACCAUUAAAAAACCGAAGGAUAUUAGUGCGUGCAGGUUGCUAGGAGAAAAAGCACCUUUUAGACCAACGCCGUUACCCAUUUCUUUCUUCUACCAACUUUUGCCAUGAAAUAAGGGAGGAAAGAAGGAAAGAUGGUAGCCAAAGAUAGGAGAUGUCCACUGAAACAGCUGCGGGAAGGCUUUAGAGCUCCCAAAAAUCUUGUCUCUGUGUGUUUGGAGUGAGAAUGAUUUCACAAAAAUGAGGAUAAAUUGAAGGAAGAAAAGAGAAAUGAAGGAGAAGACUUGGCAAAAUUGGAGAGAAUUAACUAGGGUUUCUUGGGAAAAAGGAGCUUCCAGCACCUAUAAAAGAGGGCAUCUCCUACCCAUCAUCUUAACCACAUCUAGAGAGAGCAAGCAUCACCUCUCAUCCCUGGAACCCUUAAAUUUCGAGCCAUAUUCCUCCAUCUUUUCCCAUCUUCUCUUCUGGCAAGCCAUUCCAGAGCCUGAUGAAGCUUUCGUCAAGCUGCCAGAAUAUUGCUCAAACCACCCACUUCUCCUUCCUCAUCUCUUCCUCUCUCUCUCCUCAACAAAUUCUCUUGAAAUUCCUUUCCCUUUACUUUGAACCCUUGUUUCUCAUAGGAAAUCCAAGCCCUCCCUCUUUUUGAUGCUAAACUCAUGAAUGCUUAGCUUCUAUGCCACAAGCUUCUCAAGCUAAGCCAUAUAUUUAUCUGUAAGCAACUGUUGGUUUUGUUGGUGAAGGAGACUAAGGUGUUUCCUAAGGCUCUACAACCCUUUCGAAGCACUCUUGAGGUCUGAUUCUUGAACUCAUACACAAGGGCAAGUUCACCCGUUUGGACUUUACAGCAGCCCAGACCUAUCUUUAGCUGCCGGAACGAAAAAGCCCAUACAAACAGCUCAAAGUAAGAAUUAUCCCUUGUCACCAGUGGCUGAGCCACAUAGGCGCAAGGAGGUGCAGUUGCACCUCCCAUCUCCGAAAAACCACAUGGCAACCGUGGAUAUUAACCUUUGCAUCUUUGGUUGGCUGGGCAGGAAUGCCCAUCAGGUGUUUGUGUAAUUUUCUGAGUGAAGCUUGUCCUGCAUGCUGGGUAGCAGGCAAAACUAGCCAAAACUACUUCGUUUUGGACCAUGUCACUUAAAAUAAAUUGAACUUGUUUCUUUUCAUUACUCCUUAAUUCAUGGCUCCGCGACUUCUUGCCACCAUACUUGAAGACUAUGUAAAUGGAAGUUAUGUAAUUAUGUCUUGUAGUAGGAAUUUUUAAAGCUUUGUGUGUGUGUGUUGUAAGUAAUGGAAUGGAAGUGUUCAUGUUCAUAUUUUGGAGUUUGAUUAAGUUAUCUUUGCAUAUCCCGGUAGUUGGAAAUCUAAAGGGGUCUUUAGUAUCCUAUUCAAGUAGGGAACUCAAAACUUUAAUUUUUCUUAAAAAUAAGGAGUUCUCAAAUACAAUUUUUAAGAUUCGAAAACUUGUUUAGUAUCCUAUUAAAAUAUGAACUCAAAAACUUUAAAAACAAGGAGUUCUAAAAUCCAUGUUUUAAAACUCAAAAACUUGUUUUGUAUCCAACUUGAAAACAGUUUUUAUAAAUAAAAAAAAUCUGAAACAGAUUUUUUUUUUAUGUUUUCAAGUAUUUGAGUGUUUUGAGUUUAGAUUUUCAAAACUAGACCUACCAAACAAAUUUUGAGUUUUGAACUCAAAUUCUGUUUUUGAGUUUAAAAAGUUGGAUUCAAAUCCAAUACAAGAAGUUACUGAAACAGACUUGAAGACUUAAUUGCUUGUUCAUGUAAAAUAAGAGCUCACCUCUUUGGAUUUAGUUUAGGCUGAAUAUGGACCGUGACAAAAUAAAUUUACAGAAAUCAGCUUUUUAUCUCAGUCCUAAUAUUGUUUCUGACAUUAUGGAGUUUUUGGAUGAUUUUCCUAGUGUACCGAUAGUCAGGUUUAACCAGCCUCGACCGAGUAGAGGCAUAAUAGAACUAUUUAGUUUUGUUUCAAAACCAGUUUAAUUCUUGGAAAGUUUUAAGGAUGUUCAACUUUGAGUGAGUGCUAAAAACCUAAACCAGAACCAUACAUGUAAAGAACACACAGUAAUUAUUUUAUAAGGAAUUUUACUCACAAUUAUAGCACAAUCUAAACCAUCUGCCUGAUAAUCUUCAUUUUCGAUCAAACACGGUUGCCAUAGAAAGUUCGAAAUUUUUGCAUAUAGUGACGUUGAUUUGAAUUUUUUGCAUAUAGUAACGUUGCUCAGGAGGUAAUUGGUAGAAGAGCUGAUGCUGUGAUAAAAAAAAGAAGAAAUAUAUUUACAGAUGGAAAGAUGAUGAGAUGUUUGAGUCAUGUUAAGUAUGGGAAAGUAGAAAACCAGUCUUAAGAAAGACCACACAAUUAACCCAAGUGAAAUCACAAAUUACUCUGGCAGGUACAGAACUCCUUGUUUCACUCACCAGUAACAAAAACUGAAACUACACUCUUUAAGUUCAUUCAGACCAAAAUUUCACAAAGGCGUCUAUAAACGCUUUAAAUACAUCCCAAAGUGGGUUACCUUCUGGUUUUGCCGACUUUUGAGAUCUCCCUUCCCAUGAUUCACUGCCAAGAGAAACAAUCGACCAGGCAAAUUAAUGAUCCUAAACAAGAAUGUUAAAUUGCCUAGUUCUGUAAGUAAAAAACGAACACUCCGUUGGUUUACUACAUAUACUUACAGAUUAAUUCUGUCUAAAGUUGGGCUGCUUCCUUUCUGGGAGCUGCCGCUGGAUUGAACAUCAACUUCGUCUUCAAUCACAAGCACCUCUUUGGUUUUUGACAGCUCACUACUACCACCGGUACUAUUUAUAUGGUUCGUAUGUAGGCUGUCUGGAGCUUUGAUAGCCUGUAAAAAUGCAGUAACAAUAGUUUGAAGCUGAAAUUUCUACUCCGACAUGAUUUGAACAAAAGCAACUAUUGUUAAGAGCAAAAGAGAAUUCUGCACUCAAUAUGGUAUGGAUAAUUGAAUCCUUACUAUCAAUCUAAGAGACAAUGUUGAAGCAAAUUCCAACCAGCAGUGUUAACAUCAUUACUAGACCUAGACUAACAAUAUUAAAAUUGAGGGCACAACCAAUCAUGAAUUGCAAGAAUGCAAAUACAUGACCAUAUCAACCCUUCAUUUUUAAUUAUAUAUUAAUAAUUAAGAGAACAAUUAUGAAAAAUCUAUAGACAUUCAAAAUAUAACUACCUUAGGCCCAGCAGUCAGCUGACUCUGUACUAAGAUCUCAGAUGUUGGAACAUCUUUAUGAGGUGCUUUGACAUUAAGGUCUGUGCUUCCUUUUUCACGCACAACGCCAUCGUUAAAGGUUGAGCAAUUUGAGCUUUCAAGUGAUGGAUCUCUGGCAUUUCCUAAUGCUUCCUCAUCCAGUGAGCCGGAAUUGUUCUCAAGCAAUGGACUUGAAAGAUUCUCCUCUACUCGAUCCUCGGUAGAUAUAGCCAAAUCUGUCACUUCUUGUAACCUUCCAUCCAAGCUCUCACUUGUCUCAUUAGCCGGCUUUAAUGGAAAUGUCUCCACUAUCACAUCUGCUGCUAUAGGAGUCACUUUCGACCUAGAUGUUUCCGGAACUUCUUCAACAUUCUUCUCUGCUUCCAAAGGUUCAAUUGUUUGUAGCUCUGUACAUGGCAGUUCCUCAGUUUUUUUGUCUUUCAGAUCUACCUGGUUACCAUUGAUUAAUCCAUUGUCAACCAUCUGAUAUUCAGGCCCGAUACAAUCCCCAUUAUGAACUACAGAUUCUUCAGCAACAUUCUUCUCUGUUUCCACUGGUCCUUUUACUCGUAACUCUGUACAUUUCAGUUCAAACUCUUUGUUAUUCACUUCAACUUGAGUACCAUUGAUGAUUUUCCCAUUGUCAAAAUUCUGACGUUCAAGUGUAGCUAAAUGCCCAUCCGAUGUGAAAACCAGUUCUUCAAUUCUACCCUGAUUUUGAUUGGAGAUAAACUGAGAUUGAUUUAAUGAUAUUGACAGAGUAUUUGGUGGUUCUGUAGCGAUGGAACCCAAUGGAUUUUGUUCCAAGAAAUGAUCAAUGGUCUGCUCCUCUGCAGUAAACUUAGCAGGACCCAGCACUCUAUUUUCCUGGAUUAUAUCUCGGACAAUCUCUCGUACGGUGUAGAAAGACCCGCCAACUUCCUUGUGGGUCAGAUUAAGUGAUGGGAAACUCCCAUUGUUUAGUUUCUGGUACCUGUAAGCAAGAUCACUAAACAGGUUGCAGUUAUCUGCUUCCUUGAGAAAUUCACAAAUGGAAAAUAGAUAUUCAAAAAUCUUACGACUAAGAAAAUACAACAGUAGCACUAUUAUAUCCUAAUAGUCCCUCAAGCUUGUAACAGGCAACAGUACUACUGCAUAUACCUAUAAAAAUUGGUCCAACAAAACAAUAUUGCAAGUACAACACAAUUAUAUGUUUUAUUCCUAUGAAACAUCAAGGUUACUAUUAGCUUUUCCUGUUCAUUGACCUGAACUUGAGAAACAUAAAAAUAAAAAGUCCUUAAAAGAGUGGUCAGACAGAAUAAAUUUUCUUUAUUCUUACAGGUAAAAUAAAAAAUAUCAAAGCACUGUACAUCAAACAAUUUGGGUGGCAAUCAAUCGGAAAGAAGCAUAUAUCUUCAAAGUUGGUCAUAAGCUCAUCCAGAAGCAAUAAACACAGAUGUAGAAAACGGACCAUGACUUAAAGACAUCCAAAAGCAGUGUGGUAUCCUGCUGAAUAAGAAUAAAGUAGUACAAAAAACAAACAAUCACAGGACGAGAGGUAAUGCUUGGUCAACAGCUUCCAAUUUAAGAUAAUUUAAUACAGGAAUAUAGAAUUCAUUCUUAUUUCAUUAUCCUGUGUAAAGGGUCGGGAGAAGAUCAAAUUUAUUACUGGUGCCCAUAAUCUUAGUAGAUUUCUUCAGAACUAUAUUGGUUAACAGAUUAGUGAUUUUUACAUCCUUUUCUCAGUAAGUUAGAACGGUAGCAAUUUUAAACAAAGAAACUAUAAUCAUAUAAUGUGAUUACGUUUUUAUAAAGGAUUCAACCAUUGCCUUCCUCUCCUCCUUUGAACGCCGAAUUCGGGACUUCCUUCCUUCAGAUUCAUUGUUUUUAGCCAGGGCAAAUGUACGCCCUGCCCAGCCACCCUUUAUAGCAUGCAUUACAUUCGCCACUUGUGAAAUUCAAACCUACACGCAGGUAAGCUAUGUGAGAUACAGAAACAUUGCAUUUAAAAAUAUCUAAUGAACGAACAGACACUAACAAUUUAAUACAAAAAACAUUACAUUAAAAAAAAAAACAUUUGCCACUUGUGAAAUCUUAUUUGUAUUUUGGAUAUUUGGAUGAUGUCUAAGUAAUUAGAAUAAAGGAUCAAAGCAGGCACUACAUGAAUACUUAUGUCUCUCAACCACAAAUGGCAUCCAACAUGCAAAUGUCCAAAAAUAGGGUCUUCUAAUAACGAAUCUGUUUCAUAUUUUAACAGAAGGACAACAUUAUUAAUAGGAGGAUAAAUGCUCUGAACAACAAUGGUAGUCAGGAAUCAUUAAAAUAAAAUAAAUUCAAAGACAAACAAAAAACAAAAGAAUUGAGUGAGAUACAACAAAUCAAGUAGUAAGGAAAGACAAGUGAAGCCAACACUGAACUUUAAAAAGAACCAAACUGGAAAAAUAUAUAACUUUAAUCAUUUGGGUAAAUAACGUUUCAAAGAUAUACAAUGAUGACUCGUCAUCACAAUCACCAUGGCUCCUGAAUCAUAAGUCUUACUUUCCCUUUCAGAAUAAAAUGACCUUGAAUGUACUAUUAUACACAAGCACAUCAGUCAAUAUGGAAAGCUCAAACAAAUCAUGGGUGAUGAAAGGAAAAGAAAGAAAAUCUUAUACUACCUUUAUGCUAUUGACUACAGUGAGAUAAGGGGAAAUAUUAAUGUCGAAACUUACACAAAAAUUUCUUUUGUACAAACAAAAACCCCAGCAAAUGAAACCAAAAGUUGCCCCAGUGCUUCAGGAAAUUAUCAUGGAUAUACCAGUUGGGGAUAUGGCAUGAAUGAUUUGCGUGCAACUUGAAAAUAGAAUCAAAAUAUGAGUAUUAAAACAAGAUCAUAAUGUAGAAGUGUAAGUUCACUUUUCAAGAGUUAUAAAGUCUGGUUUAUUAUAAUUUUGAAUUGAUGUUUUGAGAGUUCAAAAUACAAACUUAUUUUGUUUCCUACAAUUUAUUUGAAACUUGGCAAAACAUACAGUCACCAACAAGAAUUCUCACCUAAGAGGGCUCCGACAACCCAAAGAAAACAGGGUAAAUCAUAAAUAAAUAAAAUACACAAUAAUAAAGUAGCACAAUGAAUCUUUUCUUAAAUCAACCUUCGAAGAAAACGUAAUAGCUCACUGGUCUAGCUCCAUGGAUUUUUGAGUGCAGAGAGGCCAGAGAAGUUAACCCAAUGAUGCCAACAGGGUCUAGUCCAGUGGAAAAAGGGGCUAGACUUGGAGACUGGUGGUCUUAGGUUUGAACCCCCAUGGCAUCUUCAUUGUGUGUGUGUGUGUGUGUGAGAAAUCCCCCACCCCUCUCUAGUUUAGACUUUAGACUAUCGCUUGUACUAAAAAAUAAAUAAAUAAAUCAACCGAAUGAUUUUUAAAAUAGCCACAAGUUAAUAUGGGCCAGAUUUUGGUAACUAAUUGAAGAAAUAGAGCAUCAGCAACAUAUACAAAGUAACAUAGCAUGUGUGUUUUAUGUGUGUGUACAAAAGGGUCGCAGUUUUAAGCACGCAAACAAUCCAAAGACAUCAACAUCAAGAGCAGCCAAGAGCAACCCACAUAAGAAGAGAGAUAUAUCAAGAAAACCCAACAUUAAAAACAUGAAUUUCAGAGAACUGAAGAAUUUAAAACUGCCACAAGAUAUGUGUAAACUCAAACAGACUAAUCACAAAAGAUGGCGAUAAAAAAGCAAAAAUCUGGAAAUGAGGGUCAGAAUGAAGCACCUAAGAAUUGGGAAAACGAAAGAAGCACAGAGAGUGAGAGAAUUACCUGAACUGAGGACGAGAGAUUAGGUUUCGGGGUUUUUCAAAACCCUACUGCUACUACACAGUGAGGCUGACUGAGAGAGAGAGUAAGAAGCCAAAAUGGAAAUACAAAAUAAAUAGAAAAAAACAAAACGACUCUCGAGUGUUGAGUGGCAGCAUUCUAAUUGGUAAAGCUGUGAGAGGGCGGGAGGUGUGUAAUUAUUUCAACUCGAGCAGGGGGUAAAUGGUAAAAUCACAAUACUCAUUGGGUCGCACCUGACCUGACCACCAUUCUGCAAAGGGUAAAUGGGUAAUUAGGGCAGAAUAAAUAACUGAGUCCAUUAGGUUGAGCCCAAGACAAAUUAAAUGGAAAGGCCUGGCCUGCUUCAUUUUCCCCCAUUUUUUCCAAUUGUUUGACUGAUUUGUAGCUCUCACCUCUUAUUUUCUUCUCAUUACAAUUGAAUGGCUGUGAGAAAACCACAGCACCAUGGAAAAAUAAAAUCAAAACCCACUUUGGAAGUUCACUUGGUUUUAUUAGUGGCACACCCCAAGAUUGCAAAUUUAUUUCUCUCGCCUUUUCAAUCUACUCUCACAGUUUCUGGGAAUUUCGCAAACUCAGAAUCAAACUAACAGUUGUUGGAGUUCAGGUAUGUAACCACAUCUCUCAUAGUUGUUGUUUCUCAUUUAAGUUCUCUCUCUAAAGAUGAAAACUAUGUUGAAAUUUGUAUAAUGACAACCUUUAUGAUCCUACUCUUCCACAGGAUAUACAAUUCUGGGUUGUUUCUCUUUUCCUGUAAAUUUCAUGGAAAAUGCAAGCUUUGGUCACUUGGCCUUCAAGGGCUGAAACCUGGGCAGUGCCCCAGUUAGGCUUUGAACUUGGUUCUUCUUGUAAAUUUAGUACUAGGAUAAGAAGAAAAAAAAUGUGGAGCCUUGGUUUUCCUGUUUGUUAUGGUAGAAGUGGUGCUGUAUUAUUACUUUCUAGCAAUUCAGGGGCUAUUGGGGCUGAGGCUUUUAGUGGAAGCCCAAAAUUCGAUUUUGGUUGUGGAUGUUUUUCUGGGUACUCUAAACUUAAACCUGCUCGCAUUUGUCAGUCUAAGAAGCGUUCCUUUGGUGCUUCGUUUGUAGUAGCAUGGGCAUUGGAAGAACAAGCAAUUGGGAAUGACAUUGUUAUAGAAGAAUCCACAUCGGAACAUAGGUUGUCAGGGGAAGGUGAGAGUAAGGGUGUUGAUCAUCUAAUUGUGGAUGAAGCAGAGGGUGGUGAAGAUAAAAAUGAAGUAGAUGUAAGAAAUGGAGGAGCAAAUUGGGAGCAGAAAAAUGAGAAGAUUGAUGUGCGUGCGCUAGCAUUGAGCUUACAGUUUGCAAAAACAGCAGAUGAUGUAGAGGUGGUUCUUAAGGACAAGGGUGAUUUGCCCCUUCAAGUAUUCUCAUCCAUGAUCAGGGGUUUCGGAAGAGACAGAUUGAUGGAUUCUGCAUUUGCUGUUGUUGAAUGGCUUAAGAGAAAGAGUGAAGAAACUAAUGGUUCGAUUACCCCAAACUUAUUCAUAUAUAAUAGUCUUUUGGGUGCAGUGAAGCAGUCUAAACAAUUUGGAGAAAUGGACAAAGUCUUGAGUGCUAUGACUGAGGAAGGGGUGGAACUGAAUGUUGUAACUUACAAUACUAAAAUGGCAAUUUACAUAGAGCAAGGACUAAGUACUAAGGCCCUUGAUGUACUUGAGGAUAUUGAGAAGAAGGGCCUGAUUCCGUCUUCAGUGUCCUAUUCUACAGCAUUGCUGGCUUAUCAACGAAUGGAAGAUGGAAAUGGAGCUUUACAGUUCUUCAUUGAGUUCAGAGAAAAGUACCAUAAAGGUGAUAUAAGUAAAGAGUCUGUUGAAGACUGGGAACAUGAGUUUAUACAGCUUGAGAACUUUACAAAACGUGUUUGCUACCAAGUGAUGCGCCGGUGGCUUGUGAAGGACGAUAACUUAAGUACCAAUGUUCUAAAACUUCUAGCACAGAUGGAUAUUGCUGGGGUUCCACUCAGUCGGGCAGAACACGAGCGCCUUUUGUGGGCUUGCACCCGUGAAGAACAUUAUACUGUGGCAAAAGAAUUGUAUAAUAGGAUAAGGGAAAGGCAUACUGAAAUAGGUAUAUCUGUGUGUAACCAUGUAAUUUGGUUGAUGGGAAAGGCUAAGAAAUGGUGGGCAGCUUUGGAGAUUUAUGAGGAUAUGUUGGACAGGGGGCCGAAGCCAAAUAACAUGUCGUAUGAAUUGAUAGUAUCUCACUUUAAUGUUCUUCUGACUGCAGCUAGAAAAAGAGGAAUUUGGAGAUGGGGCAUCAGGCUGCUCAACAAGAUGGAAGAGAAAGGUCUUAAACCUAGAAGUAAGGAGUGGAAUGCAGUUCUUGUUGCCUGUUCCAAGGCUGCAGAAACUUCUGCUGCUGUCAAGAUUUUUAAAAGAAUGGUGGAACAAGGUCAAAAACCUACAGUACUUUCUUACGGAGCAUUGCUUAGUGCCCUUGAGAAGGGAAAACUCUAUGAUGAGGCCCGGCAGGUGUGGGAACAUAUGCUUAAGGUUGGUGUAAAACCGAACUUGUAUGCAUACACAAUUAUGGCUUCAGUGUUCAGUGGACACGGAAAAUUGAAUAUGGUAGAUACCAUCAUUCAUGAGAUGGUUUCAUCAGGAAUCGAGCCAACCGUUGUCACAUACAAUGCCAUUAUCAGUGGGUUUGCACGAAACGGUUCAACCAAUGCUGCAUAUGAAUGGUUUCAGCGCAUGAAGGAUCAGAACAUUUCACCAAACAAUGUUACGUAUGAAAUGAUGAUUGAGGGUCUUGCCAAUGGAGGUAAACCAAGGCUUGCAUAUGACUUAUAUUUGACGGCUCAAAAUCAGGGCCUUGACCUCUCACCAAAGUCUUAUGAUAUAGUUGUUCAAUCCUCACUGGCUUCUGGAGUUGCUAUUGAGGGAUUUUUAGGGGCUCGGCCACCGGAUAAAAAGGAAGAAGUGCAAGGUAGAAAAUCUUCUACCCAACUUUCGUAAACUCAGCUAUUCCCAAAUGAAGUAAACCAUUUGAUACUUGAUAGCUAGAGAAAGGAAAUAUAUGCCCUAAACAGAUCAACCAAUGAGAAUUCAUUCCCAUGAAAUUUCUGUGACUUUCAGUUCAUUCCAUGUACAAACACCAUAUAUAAUUGUUUGUAAAGUAACUUUGUACCAGCCUCUUUAAUCUCAGGCCGUCUGCUGCUUAAAACAUGGAUGUUUCUUUUUCCCCUUUGUAAACAACAAAUUAGAGAUAUGCUCAGGCAUUUACAGGAACUGCUAGAAUAUAGUAUGUGCUAUGUUAAUGCUAUUGGAGCUCAGAACUCUGGACGAAUAUGAACAAACUCAAUAUAAAUGCGCAAGGCUAAAUCAUUCUUCAACCGAAAGUGAAGGUGUUCUUGUAUCUUGUUUUGUCCGCAUAUUUGUAAUGGAUGAAAAUAUGAGUGCUUAUCUGAGUUUAGAUUUACGACGUUGCUAAACCAAGAGCAUGAAGAUCGAUUUUUUGCUUAAUGCCAUUGCUAGAGUAAAAUACAGCCUUACGAGUUCACAUGUUGCAUGCCAGUUCUUGUCAAAGAGAAACCUAGCUAGUGUUUCUUUUGAGGUUGUGAUACAUCUUGAUGUAUCACUGAGUUGUAUAGGCCGAUGCCCGAGCAAAGAGCCCGCCACACAACCCAUUUACCACUCACACCCCGUCACCGUAGUCAGACCUUAUUUUCUAGUUUGGAUUACCAUUGUCGACAUAAUAACAAGGGGCAAGAGGACAUUCAAUUCACUGAUGUAGGAAAAUUGAUGCAUUUUCUUCCCCAACAUCAUGUAAUCUAAUCACCUCUGUCGUGAAAAUUGAUGCAUUACACUAAAUCAUGCACAGUUUGUCUGGUUGAAGAGGCAUGUAUUAGACUAGUUGGGUCAAGAUCAACACAACAUGAUUAUUAAUCUCGUCGAGUCUUCUCAACACGAACAUACACUAUUAUUACACGUGUAACCAAGAUGACAUGAACAAUAAAAUCGCUGGGAAACUGUACGUUCAGUGUAUGAAAAAAUCAAAACAAGAACCACCGAGAACUGCUUUAUUUUAAUCAAAAUUUCCUAUCAACAUUGCCAAAAGAAUACAUGAUGUUGUCAAUUGUGAAAAAGAAUUUCAACGAAUGUUUGUGUAUACUGCUCAAAAACUAGGUAGCCUCAGACUGUUUGUGUAUACUGCUCAAAAACUUGGUAGCCUCUGCCUCUGCGACUUGAAACGUGUAAACGCCUCACAUGCUAAGUGAGCUGCAAUUGCUGGAAAAGCUACUGUCUUCCACCCACUUCCGAGUAUCUAUAUAUUCAGUCAGAGAAAAAGACCUACAAAAUUCCUCUUUACAAACCAUACCGUCGCUGUUAGAAAGAAUAAUCGUAUCCUCCAUCCUCGAGAGUCUUCUUCUUCCACUCCCAAGUUGACGAGUUCAGUAACCAUAUCGUAAUUCUGAGUGUGACAGAAUUAGGACUAGACCAUUUCAACUACAACUAUAACCUUCCUAUCCUCCAAGCGUCUUUUGUUUGUAUCCGUACUUCAUUCUUUCAAGUAAUUUUUCUUUUGUUUUCCUCUUCUUGUCCAUCUUUAGCCUGUAUCUCACUUCCCUUUCCCUCUCAUAAAUUCCUUGCCAAUGCACUUCGCCGGUUAGCGGCCACAACCAAUUCUCCCUUGGAUGGUCACCAUCGUCUGCAGCUUCUGCUAAAUCUUCAUCCAUACUCUUCAGUAAUGUAGCAUUGAAAUAUUUUGCCCACAUGAAUGCUUGGCGUUGAUCAAUUCGGUGCUGCUCCUCCAUUGAACCAGAGAUAGGAUCUAUGUAAACCAACUUUCGUGCACUAUGAUAAGCCCAGACAUUGACAAGGACUUCUAAUACCCGACAGUAACAAUGUUUUUGCUGUUGAUUAUUAAACAAUGGUGAGGAAAAUUAAACUCCCAGUGGGAACAGAAAAACUAUACCUAAAGACCUACAUGACAUACCUCAAGCUCCGAAGAACCCAACAAGCACAUGCUUUGUCCGCUGUUGUUGGUGUGCAAUGCAUCCAGAGAAUUGACAAACAUCCUGUAGUUCAAAUACAAAAUUUCAGUUAUAAUACUCUCAUAACUAACCAUCAUCAACUUCCUUUAGUGUUGAGGGCUGCGACUGAAUAAAACCAAAAAAUGUUAUUAGAUUUCAGAUCCUCAGUAAAUUACCGGGAAAACAUUACGAACUCAAGGAACGAAUGAGUUGGCAUCACCCAGCUAUGCAACGCAGACCAGUGACCACCAUCUUCUGGCAUGGGAGGAAGAGCUUCUGUAUUAUUUGGCAAGGCAUACAUCCAGCGAAAUGCAUGUUCAAAAACAUUUCUGCAGUCAUUUUGGGUGGAAAAAAAGUUAUGUUCAAGGAACAUCGAUCUUGAUGAAUUAAUGAAAUCAAACUCAUGACUGUAGGACCAAGACAAACCCAAUCAGAAUUGAAUUGUGGAAAUAUGAAACCUUAAACACCCAAUUAAUACAUGGGAGGGUCUAUGAAUGAACGUUUUGUGCAUGCUCACAUUACGAAACUGAUGGCCCAUCUUUUUGAUUCAUUGAUAAAAAAAAAAAACCCUGUAUUUGAGUAUGUAUACCUUCCUUUUUUGCCUGACAAUAUCAAAGAGUAGUUGGUAAAAAAACUUGUUUUCAUACAUGAUUUUAUGAAGCUUGAAACAAAGCUAAUUGUGUGGUUUGGUCUAUUAAUCCAAAAAUGUAUUAUAAAGUCAUGUGAAUGCUCUGGCCAAAAAAAUGGUAAUACUAAUGAAACUGGAAUCAUUUGGUCUAAGUGCACUAUUGGCAUUUGAUGAUGAGGCAAGACAGGACCUCAUAAUCUCAUAAUACCAGCCAUAAAAUCCACUGUUCAAGAGGAUAAUUCUUGUAUAGCACAGCCCUAUGUGGCCACCUUCCCACCCACUGUGAGAGGUGGUCGCAUACAGCUGCCUCAUCAAAGAAUUUCACGUUCAAGAGCAUAUCUCCUAAGAGCAUUGCAUCACAUAUUAUAUUCGCAACCCAUGAAAACAGUGACAGCUAUAAGUCACCCAAGUUAUGUGUGCAAACAACACCAGCUCAACUAAUAUUUCAUAAAACCUACCUGCAAUGGCCCCCAUUCAAGAUGUCACAUGCGGACCAAAAAGUGAGUGCAUCUUUGCUUCCCGUCAUCCCACCAUUCAUGUUCAAGCGUCCCCAAAAGUAUAUCACAUCACCUUCCCUGUUGUCUUGUAUUGCUUCUUCCAAAACUUUUUCAGCUUUCUUGGACAAAGAAACCUGCUUGGGGAAAACAAUGAUGAAUAUGAUGCAAAACUAAAGAACAAUGCAUUCAUACAUACACACACACACUCACACACAUACAUUUUCUUUUCUUCUUUUUCUUUUUCUUCAAGUAUACGUGCAUAUAUACAUACAGUUGAAUCAGGAUAUACCAGGUUCAAAACUUGUGUUGUAGCUGAUAUCUUUCAUUAGUACAUCAAAGUUGAAGUAUAAUUUUAUUUUAUUUUUCUGUGACACCAAAACCAUUUCAAAGAACCGACAGGUUUGUGUGAGUAUAUGCAUGUAUGAAUGCAUAUAAAUAUGAAGUCCUAAUCUUAUAAUGUCCUCAUGUUAACAAAAGGACCAAAUUCUAAUUCUUGCAGUCCACCCCACAAUGUGAUCCUUUGAUAUGGACCAUCCAGUUAUUAGAUUCCCAUUCAAGGAUCAUCCAAGCAAAAAAUCAGUCAAAUUAGAAAUUAUUUACCUAUUUGAAUAUCAUUUUAUUUCUAUGUUAAUUCAAAACAUUCAUCUAUUUAUUUAUUAAUGACAAAUAGAUGACUAAACAGUUUUCGAUUUUGUAGAUUUUUUUCUCAGAUAAUCACUAAAUGGAUGCAUACAAAAUAGAUGGUUAGGAUCAUAACCACAUUGCAGGGAGGGACCCAGUGAGACUCACAAAUAACUUUAAAGAAAAAUUCCCACCACAAUAAGAAAUACCUUCCUACCAGCAGCACGCCAAGAUUGAAACCCAAUCCAAGGUCGCUUAUGGACGCUAUCCACCUUGUUUGCAAUAGCGAACAUUCCUCCAAUCUCACAGAGAAUAUUGCGAUAGUGAGUUUCAUUUAAUAUGGGAAGCCGGUCAACAGCAUCCACAUCAUCUGAUGUUGAUCUCCGUGCUCUGAUUGACUACCAAAUACAUUGUAGGAUAAAUUCAAAAGGAUAAGGCAAUUGACUCAGAUGUAAAAUAUUAUUUCAAAGUUCAAGAGAGAACUAGGGCUUUCGUAUUUAAACAAAGAUUUAUAUCUGUUACGAAAUGUAGAUAUUUUAUGUAAUUUAUAGCAUGUUUAAAUGCUUUCACUGCAGUUCUCAGUAGAAAUGCAUCCAAGUCACAGAAUAGAAUUAUUAAGAAAAGAACAUGAGACUUGCAGUGUAACUAAGAGAAUAGUAGAAAUACUGAAUAAUAAAGUGAGAAAUUAAAACAGCGUAAAAAUACACAAAAAGGAAACAGGAGAAAGAAACUCACAAGACUUAAUCCACGGUACAGAGAACCAUGGUGCAAGAACGGCCAGGUCCCAGAUCCACUGUAUAUCUCAUAAAUGCAUACUGACUGGCCUGUUCUCUCAAGUUCUCCCUCAUCCCUCUCAUUUGCUUCAAACCUAAACUUUUCAACUUUUCGGGCAUUACGAUAUAUAUCAUCCCAUAGACCAGGGUCUCUCUCCAUUCUUUCAGAUAGCUACAAGUAUAGAAAAAAUUCCGUGUCAGGUGUCUUUCGAAAAAGAUUACAUUGACACUUAAAAAGGCGUGGAAGAACUGGUGGGAUUGAGCUCAUAUCACACAAGUUCCCGUAAUUUCCAGAAAUACAUACCUCCUCCAUUUCUACCCUCUCAUAUUCUUCAGAGUUUUCAAUUUCUGUCAAGAGAUCCCAAUCUAAUUGAGUUGGAAUAUCUUGUGCCGAUUCCCAAGUUCCAUUAUCAGAGAUGUUUGUUGAGUAAGCCAAACCCGAAAACUCUUCUUCAAGAGCAUAAACAACACUAGUGCUUUCCAAGGAUGACUGCUCAUCAAUGCCUUGCAUAUCACCUGUUGUAUAAUCUAUUUCAUUCCCGAACAAAUUCCAUUCCCAUGUACCUCGUUGAAGCUCGGAGAUUGGGCCUGGCAACAGAGCAUCUGAUGGAAAAUUGAGUGCAUUCUCCAAAACCCUUGCAUAACCAGUUAUGCAUUCUGAUGCCAGCAGGUUCAUCGCAAGCAGUCUUCCAGAAGAAGCAACUGUUCGAGCAAAUUUAGAAAGUUUCCCGUUUGAAAUCAUAAGUGAGAAAGACUUCAUUAAAGCAUCAGGAUUAUGGUUUGGAAAAGUAUUUAUGUGAACUCCAUCAGUUACCUGUAAUUUCACAAAAGUAAAAGACAAUGAAACAGACCCCUCCAAAGCAUAUCAAUGAACUAUGAAGACAGGAAGAGUUUUAGGGAACUCACGUAUUUCUUCAAGACAGGAAAAUCAGGUGCAAUGACUGGGAUCCCAAAGGUCAUGGCACGGAUAAGCAAUGGAGGAAAACCUUGUACAUCUUGGAAAGAACCGUAGAGAACAAUGUCAGCCAUUAAUAACAUACUGUUCACGUCACCAUUCAAGCCGAAAUGCCUUACAGAACCGCGAGGAAGUCCCAGAGGUGAAGCAACUUCCUACAAAAGAGAUCAAUGAAUCAAAAUGCAUUUCAUAGUAGUCCUAUGAACUAAUGCCUGUAAAACAGAUCAGAAGAUUGACCAGAGUAUCAAAUGAAAUAUACAAAAGGACUUCAUUUUCAGCCACCAUCGUCAUUCUGUCCGCAAUCAAAUUCAUAUUGCAAAGUAAUCUUUCUUUUUCCAGUCAUCAUUUGCCAAGAAAAUUCUUUGCUUAAGAAAAUACAGGAGCAUUUAUAUAAGAUGCAAGAAGCUCAAAAUGUGAUAACUACUGGGACAAUAGCAUAUUCUAGUAGCAUCGAUUAAAGACUAACUACCUGGAAAGCAUCAUCAUAUCCAUCGGAGGAAUUACCACAUAAGAAAACAAAUUUAAAUGACCCUCCUGCAUCUUCCCUCCUUGCAUAUUUUAGUAGCAGUGGUCCAAUAGCAUGCAUUGCCACAGCAUAGUCCCAUGAAAGCUCAUUGUAGAGGAAUGAACUCCCAACAACUACAACCAACAUAUCAUCUUCCUCGAAUCCAUUGCUUUUCCUCAACUGAUCCUUGGAGUGGGUUUUACUGUACCUUUCUGCAGCCCAAACAUCCACUGGUGAUCCAGGAAUGACAAAGAAGUUUCCAGUGUCAAGAACACUAUAUAACAUCUGAUACAGGAUGGAAGGGUAAAAAUAAGAAAAUUGAGAACCAAUAGAAAAAUCAUUUGCAAAAAUAAUUAGAAAUAGGGUGCAAACCAAUUAUUUUGCAGACCUACCGGCAGAGUGAAAUCUGGAAACACAACAACAUUAGCUCUAUUAAAAGCCCUUUUCCAAUGAGAAACAAGAUGCUUCAAGCCCAUUUCUCCAUACAAUUGAAGACGAUUAGCAAGUGUAUCUUCUUGAAUUAUCCAUAUCAGUGGUACUGAACAAAAUGGCUCCUGCAUAAGGCUGCAUGAAUCUAAAACUCACUAAUCAUAGCAUGUCCAACUGAAGCAACUUUGCAUAUGCAUUUUGUUAUGUGCAGUUUUAAUAUGAGUAUGCCUUUAUCUUUUAUAUGAAGCUGUUAGAAAAGAAAACAGAAGGAAGGCGGAAAAAACCUAUUUGUGAACACAUUUACAUUGUUUCCAAGAAAAUUGAAGAUAGACAGAGAAUUUCAAUUAGCUCAUAGACUAAAUCAUAGCUGAAAUAAUUACUGCCCGUCAAUAUUAUAUGUCAAAAUGAAAAUAACAAGGAAUUCAGAAUAAGUUUUUGGACUAAACAAAUCGCUUGAACAAUGACAACUGCCUCUCAAGUUGUCUCCAACUUUUGUUAUAUUUUUCUUUUUCAUUCUCUGGAUUCACUGCCAUGAAUACUUCAGCAAAAUCAUCAUCGUACCCAUCAUAUAUUACAACAUCAGGCAAUAUUGCUUGAGAACAGAGACAAACAAUCCGAAAUAUUAUUUUUGGCUACUUGAAUAAGAAUACAAUUUUAUAUAGUAUAGCUUUUGUUUAAACUUCAUAUACUCUUUAAAUCUGUUACAACCAUUCCUAAUAUCUCAUCCUAACGCCAUGACACUAACUCCUAUAUUCCAAUUUUACUCCAAACACAAGCUCAUAGAUUGGAGAUUUUCUCAGCAAUAUUCAACUUUCAUAUUUGCACCUAAGUUUUCUUGCUAUUGAAGAGCAAUUACAAAUUCAAGAUAUUAAUAUGAAUAACCACCAAAAAUACUUUUUUGUCUAUCAGAUGGAAUAUGAUUGGAUUCGUGUCAAUCAGAUCAAGCAGGUAUUGCAUGCAAGGGAAGUCCUCUUAACGAUAACUAUAGAUCAUAGAAUUCAGCAUGGUAGAAAAGGAAUGUCAAACAACCCACCUUGACAUGGAUUCUUUUGCUUCAAGCGAGUCCACAAUAACACCUCCAAAACUGUAGAAAAUUAUAUGUAUUAAAUAUUUUGCCAAGUUCGCGAACAAAUGAAAAGGGUAAAUUAAAGUUACUCGUUGAUCAACAAUAGAAAAACUCUGACCUAGUAAACAAAAUUUAAAUACUUUCCAUCCAAUUAGAAAAACCAUUUAUAAAUUAGGGUAAAAAAACCCCGAUAUAAAUUAAGAAGCAGACAUACAUGGACCAAUCAAUAAGGCCAGAAUGCUCCGGAGCUAAAAUCGAAAUGUGGCCACCAAGUUGCUCCCACAUUUUAUAUGCUUUACCCUUCGCUACAGAAAAGAUCUGUCAUAUAGGCAUUGCAAGAGGGCAUAAGUAGUAGUGAGAACACAGUUAUUUAUGUUUAUGAAUCACUAAUUUUACUAACACAACGUAUAUCAAUAUGCACUAACACCUUUUUUUCCCACAUAAAAAGGAGCAGCAUAUGCAGUACCCACAAUAAGAUAAAGAAUAGCAGCCAGUAAUAGUGAAGCAACUCUCUCUCUCUCUCUCUCUAACCAUCAGACAACACUUCCACAAAAUUUUUGCUUUCUUCUCUCUCUAUUGGCACCAUGUACCCCAAUGAGCAAAGAAUUAAAUAAUUCGCAAAUCACCAACAACAAAUUAAAAACCAUGAACAAAUUGUUUUCUUUUGGCCAUUGUUGCGGACUUCAUUUUCCUCUGAAUUCCAAGAUAUACCUUUCCUUUAUUCAUCCAGCUGUUUCUUAAGAUAUUGUUGAGCCAGUUUCUAAUGUUAAUUUGAUAUACUUAAAGCAUUUAUAUGAGUGUUUCUAGCAGAUGGACUUUAGUUCUUACUAAGUUUGGACAUAUCUCUGUAUUAUAUUGAGAAAAUUAUUUUGUUUCUCAUAAAAAGGAAUAGAAAAAAGCACAUGUAAAAACAACUUACCUUAAGCUCAUAACCCAAUUUCUUGAUAUUCUUCAUCACAGUAAUCAACAUCAAUGAUUGUGGAUCUUUCUUCAUGUUUCCCAGGAUCUGACAUGUAUCAAAAGUAGGCACAACCAAUAUGAAAAACAACUCAGUACACAAAAUAUAUUAAAAUAAGAAAGACUUUUCUGGCGAGUAUGGUAUCCAAUGAUAUUGAGGCAGUUCCAUAUUCUGAUCAGGAAGUGAAAAUAAGAUUUAACCAUGGAAGGCUGCUAACAUCAAUCUUAUUAGUUAAUAAAAGAAAAAAACUGCAUAUACAAUAAAGCUUUUCUAAGCUAACACAAAUACACGGAAAUAUAGGAACCUGGUAUCCCAAACUAAGAAGAUUGACAUAAGAGACAGCAUAAAACACGAAGAUGAAGCUUACAAAUAGCCAAUCUAUGCUUUAAUAUUAGAAAGCCGCAGAUUCCAUGUGACGAAACAGAGAUCAAACAGGACUGUUUUCCAAUAAGUAACAUUGGUCUUGUAAGUUACUGGUAGAGAUUUACUAGUUAUUCGAGAGAAAAAAAUAUUUGAAAGCUCCUUACACUACCCUAAACUUCCACGGCUAGCUCAGCUUCAAACAGCCAAAUUCUUUUUUGAAAUCAUGACCAAUGAGAUCAAAACUUAAAUAACAUCCACUCUAAAAUUGGAAAAUAGAGUAUAAGGACAAACUUUGGUUUUUGAAUUUUAGGGACCAAUAAAUUUAGCCUAUUUAUCAAAAUGGGUUUACCAGAAAUGUAAAUAUACAGUCAAACAAAAAGGAUCUGAGGACUACUUCAUGUCAAGACAAAUAGUUUUUAUCAAAAAAUUUGCUUCUUAUUUGCAUAAACAUUCAGCAGAGACACUACACUAGAAACAAAUAGUUAUUUAUUGUUUACUCUGCUUAUUUCAGACCAACCUGCAGACUGCAGAUUUAACUUUAUGAACCUGACGAAGCAUAGAGGAUCUUACUAAAGACUCCAGCAAUACCCAAGAAACGUAAAAGAGAAUCUAAACACACACAAUUUACAGGUACCGCACAAUGAUAAAACUGAUAAUUUAUAAGAAACCAGGAAUAAAUUAUUUUUAACCUCAUGUUCCAAAUUUUUUAAAUUAAACAUAUAAUUCCCAAUACAUAAACACAUCACUUUCCUACAUAGUGCAAAAAGAUGAAAGAACUUUUCCUUUAAAUUGGCUUCUCACUCUACUAAGCAAGUGAAAGAGCAAUCAUAAUCCACAUGGAAAGUCAAGCUUUCUGCUUGCACCAUAUCAGCCAUUUGAGCAUACAACACGUUUUGCACCAUCCCUUCUCAAAGAUUCAAGCAACACAGGUGACAUUCAACCUUCUCAGAAAAACGCAAUUCAAUUGCCGCCCUGAUAAACUCCUUUCUGAUAGCGUCACUCUAUGGACUAAGUACUUUUCAUUUUCAUUUUUCUUCCGAUAAUUCCAAUUAAUCUCCACACCUUUGCAACAGAAUUGUUUUUUCCAUUGUAACCUACCCUUACGUGGUGUAAUAACCUCUACUAUUUCCUUAGAGAGAGCUUUCCAUGGACAGCAUAAAAUCCAGGUCUUAAUGCUAGGUGACGAUAAAAAUUCUACUUGUUUUGGACCAGAAUAAAAAAUUACUUUAAUCAGUGUUUCUUUCUCUGUUGUUUUUUUUUUCCAACUUUUUUUGGAAGACAGUGAUAACAAUGAGUUUCGUAUAGCAAAAAAAAAAAAACAUCUUCUACGCAGUUAUCCUGUUUUUUAAGUGAAUACUGUGACUACAACACUAAUAACGUCAAUGAUUUGAUGUAGAAAAUCACAAACUCUGCUCUUAAUAGAAUUUUAGAGACAAAGUCAACUAAUUAAUUUAAUAUUUUUCAGAUCAGAAUCAAAGUACCAGCAGUCUAUGGACCUUUCAUUUCAAUUCCUUAAAUGUACAAAUCCAACCUUCCUCAACAAGACCAUUUUUACUUGUCUGAAUCUUUGCACAUAUUCUCAUAAACCCAAGAGCUGCUUCCCUAAGAGUUCCCAACUUAUACCCUAGUAUCAUAACCUGUACGACACUUGUAAUACUCAAAGAAUUCAGAAAAAUAAAAUAAAUCAAAACUCGGCAUCUUCAAUAUUUCAUCAUCUACGACUUGAGAACCUGCAAGCCUCCGCUCAAAACAAUGCACCUAAAGCUACAUAGUACUUUUUAAGUCUAAACUUUUAAUUCAGCAGAAACAGGUGAUAAAAAAUCAUUAAACCAUUAAGCAUUCAUGAUAUAAAAGAGUAGAAAAGAUCAUAUUCUAGCUCAUUUCUUUCCUUUGUGUUUUCUCAGAAAUCAAACAUUCAUGUAAACUGCAUUUACCAGUUCCAGAUUCGCUCCCAUUGUCAGAAAGUGCUUAAUUAAAUUAUUAACAGAGAUCAACCACACUUGGAUAAACACGAUUUACCAAUUUCCACUAAGAACUGUAAUUUCAAAUUCACGAAAACCAAUCCAAAUUCAAGCAAAAGCAGCGAGCGGAUAACACUCACAAGAGCUAGCCUCGGCGGCCGAACACCAAUCCUCGCCUCCAUGCGAACCCGAUCGAGCCCAUCACCCUCCACGAACCUCUUCGAAACCCUCCCAGGCACAAACCUGAAGGCGCUCCCAAACUUCAAGCCUUCCCUGAGCAACCUCCCUCUCUCACUUCCUUGCCUGAAAACCAAAGUCAUGGAGCUCUGCAACACCAUCGUGGCCACCGCGAAGACGAAGACCGCGAAGAUGAGGACGACAUAGAACACCGACUUUCCUUUGAAGGGAAAAAGCCACAGCAAGCCCUUGCGAUAGAAGCGGGUGUUGUGCGAUCUCGGCCGCUGGAACGAUCGAUCCGUGUAGGCCCUGGCCCGGUCUGGGUGGUGGCUAGGGUUAGGGUUCCGCUUGGAGGGCAAGCGACCGCGAAUCGAAUGGAAGCCUAGAUCGUUACCUCCAGCACCGCCAUUGUCGUCGAGGAUAGCUGGGGGAGACGAUGAGUUCCGGCCCAUUUGCAAGGACUUUUUUUCUAAAUUUUCUCGUUGGCUAAUUUCCCGGGAAAGUGACGAGAAGCCUCCGAGGUUUAGAGAGAAAGUGAAGGUGAUGGUGGUGGGGUGGUGGUGAGAGGUGGCAUGGAGAGAGAUGGAAAAAGAUAGGUAGAAGAAAAGAAAGAAAGAAAAUGCAGCGGAUUUGCAGACUCUGUUUUUAUUUUUUUUUAUUUUUUUAUUUUUAAAAAUUAUUUUCUUGCCAACGUGAAUGUAAGUGACUGAGUGCUUGAAUUUCCCUUUUCUUUUUUUUCUUUAAUUUUUUAUGAGGUAUAUGGAGAAAUUAUUCUACACCCUCAUAAAUGACGAACUUUUUUCUUUAAUUUAGUACGACAAGACAAUAUUUACUGUAAUAAUUAUACAUGAGCGUAGUUAUAAUACCAAGUAGUUACAUUCACGUUGAUAUGGUCGGAUUCUCAAUAUUUUUAUCAGAUUUGACAAAGAUUUUAGGACAUGCUUACUUAUCACGAAUAGAGUAAGUUAUGAAUUAGAAAACUCAACUAUUAGCAAAUGAAGAAAUUAAAAUUGAAUCAAUAUUGCCUUAGUUGUUAUAAUUUCCGGUACUUGUUGAUUUUGAGAGUAUUGGAUUACAAAUUUUAUGUUGAUAAACACGAUAAAAGUUAAGAAUUUAAUAGGAACAGAAAUUGAAAUAAUUUUAAUAUUUAUUUUUGAUAAAUAAACACGCUAUUAUUGGAAUACUCGUGACCAAAAGUAAAGAGUCCAGUCCAGCGGAUGAAUGAGUGAUUUGGAAAGCGACGCGCCAAAAUGAAAAGGACAAAGCAAAGUUGACGACUUGAAGUUCAGUUUGGCAAAUUACCAAAGAGCGUGGAAAGCAAAAACGCGUUUUCAAUAAGACUUUUGCUACAAAAAAUGGUGUGUGUAAAUUAAGGCUCAUUUGGACUUCUUGCAUUACAAAGAUUAUUUUUCUGAGAGAAUCUCGAAGGAAUAUAGGAAAUUUUAUUAAUAAAACGAAAAAUUACAACGGGAGUACAACAAGUCGAAUCACUACUCAACAAAUAAUAUAAUAGGGCGUCCUGAAUAAAAUUAAAGGGCACCUCAAAUCAAAUAAAGUCAUCCACAUUAUACUGACCGAAUCAAACAAGUCCGUGUACAACACUAUCACGCAUGUGCCAAUUGGUUUUCUUUUUCUUUUUUAUUUUAUUUUUAGAAUUAAUAAAAGAUAACAGGGUAGUUAUGUUCCAUAAAAGUAGGACCUAUUAUCUUAUUUUGUUUUUAAUUUUAAUUUUUUUAAUAUUAAAAAUAUGAAUUUACCAUAUUAUUCUCAUUUAAUUAAUAAUUUCAAUUCUUAAUGUUUGAAUUAAUAAAGGGCAUUUUCUGAUAUUUUGAAUGUUUCACCAUUCUCUGCCUUUUGCUUUAUAUAUAUAGAUGCAGCAAUUUUAUGAAGUACAAAAUGCCGUUGAUGAAAUUAUUAAUAUGUCCAACAUUCAAACAACAUUAUUAGUUAGAUAAGUCUCAUUGUCAAGUUGAUGCGAAUUAUGAGUGCGAUUUUGUAGGCCUGUCAGGUUGUGAGCGUACGUACUGGCUCACGACAAUGACUGUGGGUUAGUUUAUUUUUAUUUUUAAUUUUUUUUCAUUGGCCUAAAUUGGUUUUCUUCGCGGGUAAAAAAAACAAUGUUCGUUUUUUUUUUUUGUUGUUGUUGAAAAAGAUGCUUUAUUCAUUUUCUUUGAGUAUGAUUGAUUUGAUAAUAAUAUGCGUACGAGAAUAUUAUUCAUUUUCUUUGAGUAUUAGUCUUUCCACGCUUACGAGAGACUUUUAAAAAAAAUAAUUUAAUUUAAUUUAGAAUUAAAAAAGAUAAUGGGUAGUUGUGUUCCAUAAAAAUAGGAUUUAUUAUCUAAUUUUUCUUUUAAUUUUAAUUUUUUUAAUAUAAAAUGUGUGAAUUUACCAUAUUAUCUUCAUUUAAUUAAUAAUUUCAAUUAUUAAUGUUUGUAUUAACCAAGAGCAUUUUUUGGUAUUUGAAUGUUUCACCAUUCUCUGUCAUCCAACGGUUCAAAAAAGUUUCUUAAAAGGAGUGCAAAAGUAAGUGAAUCGUUAGAUUAACAUCCAACGGUGGGUAACCACAAAUCUCUUGGAUCUCUGUAGUCCAAGAGAUCGAGACUAUGAGAAUAAUAAGAAAAAUGUGUCUCAAAUUAAAGGGAAGUUUAUUUUUCUUUUUUCUUUUUUCUUUUUUCUUUUUUAAUUUGACAAAUUAAAUUGAUGAAUAAUUUCAGUUCAUGAGAUAAGAAAUGUUUAAACAGUCAGCUUACUUCUUUAGUUAUCAACUAUUGUAUUGGUCUCAUGUAAAAGUAGUUUGUAAAUAUCAUUUUUUUUUUUCGUAUAAAAUAAAGUUUACUUCAGUAAUUGCUAAAUAGUUAAUACAUUUUAGGAGAUUAAAGCAAACUAUGUAUGCUUGUGCCUCAAAUAGCUUAAAGCAUUUAUACAAUAAACGCAUUCUUCGGUCAAUUGGUCUGCAGGUCCCCAAGAGGAAUUUGCACUUUUGCCCUCCAUAGGAUGGAUACAAUUGGGCUCAGGUUUCAUGUCCCAUGGUUUGAUUUCUUUUUAUUAAUAAAGUUUCUCUCGUGUCGUCAACGUUUCCGACACUUACAAGGAAAAGGAGGCAGCCAAAGGUCAUUAAACCUCAAGAAUUGCUUAGAAUAGAAAAGAAAUUCGUUAGUUGUUACAAUCUACAUUUGGGGGCUGUCUUGGCUUUGUGACUGACAUAUAUAGAUUCAUCUCCAUGUCAAAUGUUCGGGUUAUAGAUUUCGGAGCCAUUGAUCACAUGACGAAUAAAAAGCAAUAUCUUUGUGAUUUUUCACUAAGUCUUAAUUUAUCUUUGUAGCUAAUAGUACUGAUGUCUCAAUUUUGGGACGGAGAAAUAUUAAAUUUCUUGGUACAAAUGUUAAGUUCACUACUUAUAUGUGCCAUCGUUCCCUUUUCAGUUGCUAUUAGUCAGGAGACUGACAAAUUCCUUUAACCGUGAUGCCUUUUUUUUCUUCUUCUUUUGAUGUGGUCUUUUAGGAUCGACUUACCAGGAAGAACAUUGGUGAAGGUGUUUACUCAAAUGGGUUGUAUUUUCUUCAUCAUUUCCCUAACAACUCAAAAGGGCUCCAAGUCAAUUCUCUCAAAAAUCGUGUUUUGUGGCAUCAAAGUUUGAGACAUCCCUCUGAAUCUAUUUUGUCAAGUUUAUUUUCAGCACUAGAUAAAACCACUCAAGAUUGUGAGAUUUGUCAUUUUUCAAAACGGACAUGCCUGCUGUUAAUUUGGUCAUUCAUUGUCAAAAACUAUCAUACCCCUUGAGAUUGUUCAUUCAAAUGUAUGGGGGCCAUCACUCUUAGAAUCUUUUGGUGGGUGAAAAUGUUUUGUUAUGUUUGUCGAUGAUUUCUCUCGUGCUACUUGGUUAUAUCUGUUGAAAUCAGAGAGUGAGGUUGCUUUUGUCUUCGAAGAGUUUCAUCAACUUAUCGUGAAUCAUUUUUCCGCCCAGUUUAAAGUCUUGAGAUCUUACGUAUGUUGUUGAAUUUAUGACUAUUACUCUUUCACAAUACUUAAGUUCUUAUGGUAUAGUUCAGCAAACAAAUUGUGUUAGCACACCCCAACAAAAUGGGAUGGCAUAGAAAAAAUCGUUAUCUUCUAGAAAAGAUGCGGUCGCUCAUGCUGCAAAUGAAUUCCUAAGAAGUUUUGGUCUCAGGGAGUUCUUAUGGCAGUCUAUGUGAUCAAUAGACUUCCAAGUCGAGUUCAUCUCCACUUGAAAUUCUGAAAAGAAGGAAAAUUGAUCUUUCAAACCUACGUAUCUUUGGUUGUGUUUGUUUUGUUUACAUCAAGAUAAAUUUGACUCCAAGGCAGUUAAGUGUGCUUUCAUGGGUUAAUCUUUCAUGGGUUAAUCAACACAAAAAUGGUAGAAGUUAUGAUUUAAGAAGUAGAAAGAUUAUUAUAUAUAUAUAUAUAUAUAUAUCAUGAUGUCAUGUUUGAUGAAACUUGUUCCUUCUUUGACAAAUCUUGUGGAAACAAUAUUGAGUGGGAGAGCUUCUUUGAUCAUCUGCCUUUGCAAAUUGUACAACCACUGCUGAUCCUAGUCUUACAAACAUUUUUUGCCCUUCCAACAGUGAACGUACAACUUCCAAUAGCAAAGGAACAACUUCUAGGAGUGUUCAAACUGCGCCUAUUAAUCCUUAUACUCUUCCUUCUCUCGUUGGACCUCGGAAUCCCCCACCAAAAUUCAAAUAUUAUGUCAAUUGGGCUACCCAGUAUUUAGUUGAAAUGUAUAUCACCUACGCUAAUGUGUCUCGAUCCCAUGUCGCCUUUGUAAGCCAAAUUUCGAACUCUUGUGAACCUAGCUUUUUUCAAGAGUCAAAUUCCCAAUUGAUUUGGCAAAAUGCAGUGAGAGAAGAGCUGAAAGCGCUUGUUGAAAAUCAAACACGGAGUAUUGUUCAAGCCACCUAAAGGGAAGGAAGUGGUUGGUUGCAAAUGGGUUUAUAAAAUCAAGUUUAACAGUGAUGGAUUCAUUGAGAGACAGAAGGCAAGACUCAUGGUUAAGGGGUUUACUCAAACUUUUGAAGUAGAAUGGAAAUUUUUGAUCACGUAGCAAAGAUGAACACAGUAACAGUAUAUGUUACCCAUACCGGGUUAACAUAUUUGCGAGCUGCUAUAAAAAAAGGCACAAAAGGUAAAUAAAUUAACUUAUGCUCCAUCUUCUCCUUAAUGAAAUGCAGAUCAACUUCUACAUGCUUAGUUCGAUCAUGUUGCAAGUAACCACCUCAAGCAUAGUACUUCACAAACACCCUGGAAAUCCCUCUGUACUUAGCCUGCAUAGGAUAGCAUUUGUAUGGCUUUUGAAUAUUUUUUAUUUCAGUGACCAAGUUGAAAUCUCCUAUAAUCUAGUGUCAAAAAAUAUAUUUAACACAACAACUUAACUGAAAUUAACGUCAAGUCUAUAAAUUGUAAACUUUGGAUAAUACAAUACUAAUUUGGUUAAAUUCUUUUGUCAAUGCCCAAAUUGAAAUUUCGCAUAAAAACUUAGUGACAAAAAAGAUAUUUAACCCUUUUGAAAUUCUGGAUCAGCCCCUGAUAACAACAAAUAAGUGGACUAAAUCCAACUUUUAGUUGUGUUUUUGGAUAUACGUCAAAUUUAAUAUUUUCUCUUUAAUAAUUUGCAAAUUCAACACUCGAAGCUGAACCUUACUUGAACAUAGUUGUUGACAUGGGCAUCCUUGUUGGGAGAGGUGAAAAGCUCGUAAUGUUGUGCGUCCAUUCACAAUCAACAAUGUACUUAUAUUUAUAUCGUCCUUCCUGUACAGAAAACAAGCAACAUUCUAUAUUUUUCAAGUCAUCAAUUGCCAGUCUAGUUUAUUAGACACAGGUUGCUUUUCUUCACGUUACUUCCUUAUUUUCAUAGAUUUCUUAUUGAAAACUUCUUUAUUCUUGCGCUAGGUUGUUCAGAUUCGUGAGCAUUAAAAUUUCUAGAUCGAUGAAAAGCAAUUUACAGUAAAAUUUUGAUUGGUUAUUUGCUAAAUAAAUCUCAGGGUAAUUUGGAUAUUGAAGGAAGAUAUGGCAUAUGAUUUGAUAAUAGGGACCAAGAAAAUUGCUAGUGACUGAAACAUUUGUGGGGGAGUAAUCUGGAAUAUUGACUUGUAAAAUUGAAAGAGAGCCCAAUGUUGCAAGAGUUCAAUUCUACGAGUUCAAAAUUUUCCGUUCAUGGUAUAAUAAAAAAUAAAAUAAAAACCGAACAUCACGGUGAUAGGACUCUAUAUUAUUGUGCUUAUAAAUCUUAAAAAUACACACCAUGGUGAUCACAAGAAAUAGAUGCAGACUCCGUUGGUUUUUUCAACACAAAUUUCUCCCACUUUCUUAUGUUUCCCUCAAGUUUCUCGAGAUAUGGGUAAUUUAGUAAUACCAUGUUCUUCUUUUGCUUCAACCAAAUCUCCAUAAUUGUUUAGCGAAAUCAUAUUGUCUAUACAACUAUGAACUGUAAUUUCACUUUGAGUGGUAUAGACUUCGUGGAAACAUGCCUUAGAUCCACAAAGAAUAUGCAGUAGUUAUUGGAUAACUCUGGUUGAAAAAUAUGACGUGCUCCCAUUUGCCGCACUUAGAAAAACUAGUAGGCUGCCAAUAUAUAAAUGUUGGCGUGAGUCAAAGUCAAUAUUCCUAUUAGGAAUAGAAUUUGUUCCUAUUAGGAAUAGAAUUUGUUCCUCUUAGGAAUAGAAUUUGUAUUUUAUUAUAAUUAUUUAAUUUGAGUAGAAUUAGGAGAUUUUGGUAUAUAUUUUCUAUUUGUACCCACUCUAUAUGUAGUAUAUAUAUCCCUCCUUGAGAGAAGAAUAAACAUAUCAAAUUAAACCCUAAUUACUUUUGAGUUGGUAUCAGAGUAGGUUCUGAUUCGUCUCUACACAUCAAAACCCUAAUCCUAAAAAUACCUAUUUUCGCUGCACCUAGCCUAUACACCUAAGCCUGAGCCGUCUCAUCUCUCUUAUUAUUGUCGUCGCCACCUAAUCUUCUGCUACUACCGCCAUAUAUUACCAUGCCGAAUGUCACUGAACUUUUUCCUCUACCCCUAUUGUGACGGUUCAUACUAAAUUGACAACCAAUCUACCCACGUGAUUCAAAUUAAAUGGAUCCAACUAUGAGAUAUGGGCUUCGAUGAUCAGACUCCAUGCUACUAUACAAGGCAAAUUGGGUUACCUGACUGGCGACAAUCAUGCCACUGAUUCCCAAGACCCACAAUUUGGGAAGUGUAAAAUUACUGAUGUUACUGUGAAAAGUUGGAUGUUGCGAACUAUGGAACCCAUUUUAUUGAAUAUGUUUCAUACUCUACCUACUGCUAAAGAAAUUUAGGAUGCUGUUAAUCAGAUGUUUUAUGAUGGCUCUGACAUAUCUCAGCUCUAUGAACUGCGAUGCCAGACUACCCGUAUCAAGUAAGAGGGUUGUCUUGUCUUUACCUAUUUCAUUGAGCUUAAGGCAAUCUGACUUGAAUUGGACGAGAGAAGUCAUUUUUAGAUGAAGUGUGCAGAUGAUAUGAAGACUUUUCAGGUUGUUGUUAUGGCAGAUCGUGUGUAUGAUUUUUUGGUUGGGCUUGACGAUACUUAUGACAAGGUCCGCAAUGAUAUUCUACAAAGUGAUAAAGUUCCAAGUAUCAAAAAUGUAUUUUUUUUAUGGCCCGUCGAGAGGCUCAACGCCAAAUUACUAUGCUUGGAUCUGGCACCAAGACUAUGGAACCUACUGUUAUGUUUGCUUCCAAAAACACUGCUUUACUUUCUCGGCCUACAAGGUCUGGCUCUUCUUCCGUUCCGCCUUGUUGCCUGAAAAAAAGACAAACUGAAGUGUGAUUAUUAUGGUCAUAAGAGACAUAAUGUCGACACCUGCUGGGCGAUGCAUGGGGUAUCAGAUUGGGAGGAGGAAUGGAGGCAUCUAAAAAAGAAACAACUAGGCGGUAAAGCUCAUGUGGCUGCUGCCGCCACUUUUGUGGCUGACGUCACCACUGGACGCGACCACCUGACCGAUACUCCUACUCCGGCUAUGACUGUGGUCUUAAGCACUCCAACACCUCUUGCACCUAUGCCACCUCCAGGUAUCUUUGGCAGGGCUUUCCUUACUCAUGAUGCAUGCAAUACAUAUUGGAUUGUUGAUUGAGGAGCUACUGACCAUAUGACUUAUAAUUCUACUUUAUUCUUUACUAUUCUUCCGCCUCAUCUUGAUCAUGUUUUGACUGCUAAUAAUGCUGCUGCUCUUGUUACAAGGGCUGGUUUCGUACCUUGGCACUUGCUUUACCAUUGGACAAAGUGGUAUUGGUUCCAUCUUUGUCUAGUUAUUUAUUAUUAGUGCCGCAAGUUACUGAGUAGUUACACUAUAUUGUACUGGUGUAUCCGUCUUUUUCCUUAAAUACAGGUUAUCCAAACUCGGGAGAUCUUUGGCCGUGGUACUAAAAAAAGGGGGCUUUAUUAUUUGGAUGAUGUGGAAACUAGUUGGGUUCCUCGUGCUAGUAAUGUCAAAACUUCCAAGCAUCACUGAAUUUGGUUGCUUCAUUGCCGAUUUGGUCAUGCCUCGUUUGGAUAUUUACGACAUUUGUUUCCUGCAUAAUUUAGUGGUGUCAACAAGUCUAUUUUCCAAUGUCACAAUUGUAUUUUAGCUAAGACUCAUUGGGUAUCCUACCCUCCGACUUGUAAUAAACGGUUUAUGCCAUUUGAUUUAGUUCAUUCUGAUGAUUGUGGACCUACCCAUAUUUCUACUGUCUUGGGAGUUUGUUGGUUUUUAUUAUUUGUGAAUGAUUGCACUCGUAUGAUGUGGUUAUAUGGGAUGAAAAAUAAAGUGAUGUGGUCAACAUCUUUUAGCAUAUCUAUCAGAUGAUUUAGACUCAAUUUAUGCUAUAUGUAAAGGUUUUUUGAUGUGAUAAUGGUGGAUAAUUUAUUAAUUCAGCGUUAUCCCAGUUUUUUCACACUAAGGGUGUACUCUAUGAGACUACUUGCCCUUAAACACCACAACAUAAUAGGUCGCUGAAAGUAAAAAUGGGCAGGUCUUUGCCUCUGCCCUUGUUAUGCUGCUUGGUGCGUCAGUUCCAAAGCGGUUUUGGAUGGAUAUUGUUACCUAUAUUGUCUAUCUCUUCGUCUUCUGCCUUCACGAGUUCAAGAUUUCUGAACUCCUAUGCAGGUACUAACCCAUCACGUCUGUCAAACCUGCUGAACCAACCGAACUUGCGAAACCGGUUGAACUUGCUACACCAAUCGAACCUGCUACACCAGCUGAACAUGCUUAUUUAAUUGAUGUCAAUGCUGUCACUAAAUCGAUUGCCCCUGCUACUUCUCUAAUAGUACCCGAUCAAGCUCCACUGGGUAUUCCUAAGGUAAGUACUUCUAUUCAAGGAUUAAAAUAUCGGCCGUGUAGAUAAUAUCGGGCCUCCAAUUUAGGGAUAUUUCGGGGGAUAUAUCGUUAUCAUUUUAGGUAUCGGGAAAAAAUCAACAAAAAUGACAGACAUAGGCAUUGAAACACAUAAUUUUGGUGUAAAACUUUUAUAGGUGUUAUAUACAUUAUCAAUGAAUGUAUUUAACAAAUAAGGCUCAAAAUUUACUAAUAGUAAGAUAUACAUAUGAUGAAAUAUAAGUGGUAUGUAAUGCGCGUUAAUGAAAAGUUGAAAAUAAAUUGUUAAUUAGAAUGAAUAAACCAUGCAUAAAUCUAUAGUUUGUUUAAACAUUGGAUUACAAUUUAGAUAAGUGUCCAUCUACAAAAAUUAAGAGCUCCUAUGAGGUUCAAAUAAUGAGGAACAACCAUCUAGAUUCAUACAAUAGUCAUACCAAGUCAUGUAACCCGAGCAGUUUGGAAGCCAUGUUUGAACAUGGUGCACAUAAGUCUCUCUUGAGCUCCCUACUGUCCUCUCAUAUAUGGGAUAGUUAGGAUUAACCAACUAGUAGGUCCAUAAUAUGUUUUAUCAUCUUGAACUCCAUAACUAGUUCCAUUAUAAUCAGACAUGACAUAACCAUAGCCAUCAUAAGAUUCAUUUGAGUUAGUACUAGGUCUAGUUUCUAUGCUCAUAGAUCCAAAACUGAUCGCCAUGUCCUCUUUAGAUGGAUUGGAGGUAUGUGGGCAGUGGACUGUGCAUAGAUUCUUCAUAUUAAUAAAUUAUAGGGUUAUGGGCAAUGAUUAGCUAUUUUUGGGUUUCAAUUUGCUUCAAUUGCCUUCAAAAUUUCUGAAUUUUUAUGGGUAUCGGGGAUAUCGGCAAAAUAUCUGGGAUUUCGCACUUAUCGGGGAUAUAUCGUCAAUACAAGGGAAGACAUGGCCUUACCCAACAGUAUCGUGUCGAUAGUUGAAAAUACCGAUAUAUCGGCAAAUAUAUCGGUAUAUCGGCUGAUAUUUCAAUCCUUGCUUCUAUUCAUAGUGCUGAUAAUUCUUAUGUUCGACCGCCUAGACGGAACCGUCAGGUUCCACCUAAUUGUUACUCACUAGAAGGCAAAGAAAGAUAUGAUAUUGCCCAUUAUGUAUCUGAUCACAUGUUAUCUCUUGAAUGGAAAACGUUUGUGACCAGAAGUACUAAAAUUCCAACCCAUGUUGAGGAGGCAUUUAAUGAUCCAAAGUGUGGCUGAAGCCAUGAAUAUUUAAAUGGAGGCACUGCAGAAAAAUAAUGCAUCAGAUUUUUUUGAUCCACCAAAAGGAACGAAGCAUGUAGGAUGCAAAUGAGUGUUUAGAGUUAAAUAUAAUGUAGAUGGAAAAAUGGAGAGGUACAAGGCAAGAUUUGUAGCUUAAGGGUUCACUCAAACAUAUGGAGUUGAUUAUCAUGAUACUUUUCCACAUAUGGCUAAUAUGAAUACUGUCAGAGUUUUGUUGUCCUUAGCAGUAAACCUGGAUUUGACCCUAAGACAAUUUGUUGUAAAAGAAAAUUCUUGCAUGGUGAAAUAGAAGAAGAAGAAGUGUACAUGAGACUUCCACCAGGGUAUACCAUUACUAGUGACACCGAGAACGUAUGUAGAUUAAACAAAUGCGUUGUAAGGGUUAAAGUAGUCUUCUCGUGCAUGGUUUGGCAAAUUUACUGUAGCUAUGAAAAAGUUUGGUACCAACAAGCCAAUUCUGAUCAUACUAUCUUUAUUAAACAUAGAGCUGGUAAGGUGACUGUUGAUUAUUUAUGUUGAUGAUAUGAUUGUUACUGGUGAUGAUAUUGUAGGAAUCGAGGAGCUGCAUUAGCGUUGAAAUUUGAAAUGAAAGAUUUGGGUAGUUUGAAAUAUUUUCAAGAAUCUAAUCCCAAUCCAAAUUAUAUAGAAUAAAAUGUUAAAUUGCAAAAUAAUGCAAUAAAAUGAUUAUAUAUAAAAAAUUUAAAAAUUGCAAAAUAAUGCAACAUAAUCAUCCCCUCAAUCUGCUCUCCACAACCACCCCCAAUGUGGCCACCUCCAUUGUAAUGACCCAAACCUAAAAUUCAUAUUUAAUUAGUAAUUGAUUAUGCGGAAAGACAAUUUUGCCCUUUGACUAAAUUAUGAAUCCAAAGUUGACUUUUUGACCAAAAAGGACUUUGACAAUUCCACAUAUACCGUUGCGUGGAGCACGACGACACGAGUUCAUAGACAUGAAGUGAGCUCGAAUCGGAGUUUUAACGAAGAAAAUACGAUUAAAAUAUCACGAGGGGCAAAAUGGUAAAUUAGAAAAUCAGAAUUUUUAUAAAACCUCAUCUCUCUCUCUCUCUCUCUCUCUCUCUCUCCGCGCUCUCCUCCCUCUCUGUUUUCGUUCUCUCCCUCCCUUCGCCCUCUAAGUGCAGCGCCGCCACUACCAGCCACCACAAGCCCCAACACCAGUACCAACCUGACCGGCCCGACCCCGCCGUCACGUCGCAGCUCACGCCCGCCGCGAGCCGCUCACCAGUCGCCGGAAACGGCAGGAAUUCUGCCGGUUUUGUCAAAACUUCCAACCGUUCGUUCUCCUUCAAUUCUUCUCCAAAUUUGUUGAGUAAGGUAUGGAUUUCUACCUAUUUUCCGUGCUCUAGCUGAUGGUUGGGUAGGUUUGCAUUGAUUUUCACCGUAGCUAGCUCAGUUAGCAAAUUGAAAUUCGGCCAACUUUCGGCCGCUGUGUUCGGCCACUUUCGGUCAGUUUUUGGGGUUAGUCCAAGAACAAAAGUGGUUCCAAAUAUGGUGUUAUACCUAGGAUAGGAGUUUGGAGCCUUGGUUUUACGAUUUUCCGGCGAUGCGUUAUCGCUUUGGACACCCAUCGCUGCCGGCGCGUGCGGCGGCGCGUGGGCGAGGGUGGUGCUGUGACACUGUGUUCUGAUGCGAUCCUUAGGUCAUCACGAGCGCGUAGGAAUUCGCGGAUCUCAAUUUGGAUACCGUUUGAGCCUCGAACGGAUUUUCCAUAUUGUGCGAUUAUCGGGUUCAAUACUGUUGAGCCGUCGGAUCGUAAUCAAUUUUAGAUAUGUUAUUUGAGAUAAUUUUAGAAACGUGUAUGAUUCGACGGAUGGUGAAUCGGAGUCCCGGAUACUCCGAAAACGCGAACCCUAGGGCGAGGGUUUAGAAAUUAUGCGAUUACAGGAUUGUGAUCAAUCCGACCGUCCGAUCGACACCAAUACCCUCGGGACAUGUGUCCUAAAUAUAUUGGACCUUCUAGCGGCAUCCGGAUCAUAUUGUAAGGUCAUGGACCCGUGGGGUUCUGGAUUGACUUUUUGGACCUUAGCGCUAUUUGAGUCCCAAGAUACCGCUAAACUACCCCACGUGGAAGGAAAGCUUUUAUGGGCAUAGGGAUCACUUUAAAUUUCUGCAUGUACUUUUAGGAGCCGGGGGUAGGGUUUUUAAUUUAAUACUAUAUUGUAUUAAUAGAAUAUUAUGGUCAUUGAAUCAGGCACCCGGGCACCAGUUGACCCGCAAGAGGGACCUUCAAGAGGUCCAACGAGCUCAGACUAUCAGUGAGUGGGCUCUUUAUUUUAAUAAAUGAAUUUAAGCAGUUCAGUUUCAGUUAUAAGCUGUUUUAUGCUGUUAAAUAUUUUAUGUUGCAUGCUGCCGAGUGAAAUUUCCUUUAAAGAAUACAGGAAAAGAUAUUCUCGUUAAUUAUCAGAUAAAUGACAGCAGAAUUUUAAAGGUUACAGAAAGUUAAUUAUUCAACAGAUUUUCCUCAGAAACUUUAUAUUUUCUUAAACCACCUGGUACCCAGAUAUUAAAUGUUGCCUUCGGAUUAUAUUUGUUGCCUUCGAUUUAGUCAGCAUGCUUGACAGUUGCCCCACGAGUUCCUUGGUACUCGAACUCGUGUGGAGCGAGUAAUGCGGAUAAAGGUAGACUACGAUUCCCUGAAUCCUGCGAGUUGCGGCUCAGACUGACCUCGUGUCACUGAGACCUGCGAGUAUGUGUCACCCAUGGUGAUGCAAGGAAUUGACGGAUAUAAGGAAUUGACGGAAAUAAGGGUACACCUAGGUGAUAGUUUUCAACUGUUUUCAAAUGUAUAGUUAUAUACAUGCAUUGAUUUCAGAAAUAAAGAAAAUAAGCUAGUUUGUAUAACUGUUUUUACAGUGGGGUUAGUAUGUUCAUAUGGUAUUUUCUAAACUUUGGUUUUUGGGUCCACUCAUCCUUUUUGUUGUUUUGCGCCCCCAGGCAGUAGACGUGCACAGGAAUCCACCACCGGGCCACUUCCCAUCUUCCGCGCCUUUCUUCUGAUGUAGGAUUUUGUUUUGUAAACAGAUGCACUCUUAUGUACAUUUAGUAGUCGCUCUGAUGUUUUGCCCUAGACUGAGAUUUGAACUGUUGGAAUGUAUAUAUACAUAUGCUGGCAGUUGGUUGUAUAUAUGUAUACUGUUUGGCAUGUGAAAAUAUUUUGGUAUUGAGCUAGUUACAAGGGAAACUCUGUCGGUUUUCCGGUAGAAGUCAACUUUGUUAUUUUAUCGUGUUUUGUAUAGAAGGGCAAAUAGGUCAUUUGUGCCUGACAUUCGCCAGGUGUCGGACACGCACAGGGUCUGGUUCGGAUUCCAAAGCGGAAUUUGGAUCGGGUCCUGUCAUCCAUCCCCAUCCGACCGCACCUUGUAAAGCAAAAAAUAUCAUGAUUUCAUGUAAUUAAUCUUGAAACAGACUUUAGAUGUUGAAGCAUCAAAUUUAUUAUUUUGGUAUACAUCUCUUUCAAUGCAGACCAAAAAAAGCUAUGAAAUUGCAUAUGGCCUUGAAGGAGAAAUGGUGACUAGGGUUGUUGAGGGGGGUGGCCUAGAGAAUAAGGUCUCAUGAAAAUGGUGACUGGGUUGCUGAGGCAGAGAAUGGUAAAACAUUCAAAAUACCAAAAAAUGCUCUUGGUUAAUGCAAACAUUAAGAAUUGAAAUUAUUAAUUAAAUGAGGAUAAUAUAUGGUAAAUUCACACUUUUUUAUGUUAAAAAAUUAAAAUUAAAAGAAAAAUAAGAUAAUGAAUUCUAUUUUUAUGGAACACAACUACCCAUUCUCUUUUUCAAUUCUAAAAUAAAAUAAAAUAGUUUUUAAAUAAAACCUCUUGCAGUCGCGGAAGCACGUGUGAAAAGACUAGUCCACUUUAAAACAUAACUUAAUUUUUUUUAACAGCUCUACUUAUCUUCUGAAAUUAAAUUUAAAACUUGUAAAACUUAAUAAAUAAAUAAAUAAAUAAAUAAAAGAAGAAGAAGAUUUCCCAACAACCUACCCUACCCUCCCCGUAAAACCCCUCUUUUCCUCUUCACCACUGCCACCGAUACCACUCAUGAAGACCAUCACCAUCCAAACCCUCAUCUUCCUUAAUGCCCCUUUCUCUGAAAUUGAUCAUGACACCCACCAAAAUGUUAAACACACCACCACCUUCAACUUCUGUCGCCUUAUACUAUUUCCAAACGCAUGUCCUCAAUGAGGAAAUGAAUGAUACCCUUCAAAGCCCAAUCUCACUCCAAGAAGUCAAGAAUGCUGUUUAUGAUAUGGGAGCUCUCAAAGCCCCAGGACUAGACGGUUUCAGGGGGUGUUUUAUCAAAAAUUUUGGCAACAAAUCUACUUAGAGGUCCAAGGUAUAGCUGUGGAUUUUCUCAAUGGUUCUUGUAAUCCCAAGGCUCUAAACCACACAAAUUUGGUUCUUAUUCCCAAAAUUCAGGAACCUCUAUCGAUCUCCGAGUACCGACCCAUCAGUUUAUGCAACUUCUCUUACAAAAUUCUCUCAAAAGUGUUGGCUAAUAGAAUUAAGCCCCUACUUCCAAUGAUCAUAUCUCAAGCCCAAAGUGCCUUCGUUGCCGAACGACAAAUUCAUGAUAAUAUCUUAAUAGCCUAUGAAGUCUUCCACUUCCUCAAGCUUAGAAAGGCCAAAAAAUCUUUUGAAAUGGGAAUAAAACUUGACAUGAACAAAGCCUACGACAGGGUGGAAUGGAAUUUCUUGAGGGAGGUUAUGCUGAAAAUGGGUUUCCGUAGUCGCUGGGUUCAUCUAAUCAUGAGAUUUAUCACUACCGUAACCUUCUCGGUGGUACUUAAUGGGCAACUUGGAAAGAAGUUUAUGCUAUCAAGAGGAAUCCGUCAAGGAGACCCCUUCUCCCCCUACCGCUUUUUAUAAGUGAGGCCCUCUCUUGCCUAAAAAAUCAAUUAUUACUAAUCAUUUGCAGGGCAUUAAAAUCAGCAACCCGGGGCUGGUCCUAUCUCACCUCCUCUUUGCCAAUGACUCCUUGUUUUUCCUCAAGACUUCUCAACUCAAUUGCAAGAACUUGAUGCGGUUGUUGCAUGCGUACUGCACUGCUUCUGGACAGUCCAUCAACUUCAAAUCCAACAUUUAUUUUGGUCAAAAUGUGCCGGCUGUUCUCAAACAUAACAUCUGCAAUACCUUUGGGAUGGAUGCAGUUACAAAUCCCGGCAAGUACCUCAGCCUUCCUACCAUAUGGGGAAGGGCCAAAACGGAAGCUCUUGCUUACAUAAAGGAGAGAAUCAAGAAGAAGAUUGGGGGCUGGAAGCAUAAUAUGUUAUCACAAGCGGACCGAGAGGUCUUAAUAAGGGCAGUGGCCUAAGCGAUUCCGACAUAUGCAAUGAAUGUCUUCAAAUUCCCUACUGCAACAUGCAAGGAAAUUGACUUUUUUUAGCUCGUUUCUGGUGGGGCCAUAGUGAGAAGGAUGCCAAGACUCAUUGGGUCAGCUAGAAGUUUUUGGGUUUGUCUAAAUUAGAGGGUGGAAUGGGUUUAGAAGUAUCCAGGAUUUUAAUGUUGCCCUUUUAGCAAAACAAAGCUGGAGAAUCCUACACAAACCUGAUGCUUUGUGGGUCCAAGUUUUGAGAGGAAGAUACUUCCCUGAUGGUAAUUUCUUGGAGGCCAGGAAAAGGGGGAGAUCCUCAUGGGCAUGGGCUAGCAUCUUGGAGGGGCGUGAUGCAAUCAAGCAGGGACUCCAAUGGCAAAUAACAAGUGGCUCGCAAACUAAACUCUGGAACGACCGUUGGGUUCCUAGUCUUCUAGGACUCUGGAGAGAGACAAUAGUAGGGGCCACUUGGAUGACGCCUUAGAGCAUCUUUAACCGAUGUGUCAAAAGUGCUACAUAGACAUUCAACGGCAAGAAAUAAUAUCUCACAUCACUCUAACUGAUGUGUCAAAACUGAUGUGUAAUGAAGGCUGGAGGUUGAGAUGUUAUUUUUGACAUCUCAAAAGAAAGAUGUCAAAUGAAUAUUUUAUUAUUUUUUCUUUUCUUUUCUUUUUAAUUAAAAAUAAAUCAACACUAAAAUGUAAUAAAAUAAUAAUUUAAUUUGACAUAUUGGGUGGAGUGUAAAGCUGUGUAAGAUGUCAAAUUGCCACAUUAGCAAUCAAAUUUAAACUUGAUAUUUGGUAUUUAACAUCUCCCUUGAAGAUGCUCUUAGUUGGAUAUAUUAUUGAUCAUGAAACAGGUACUUGGAAUUUGGAUUCAAUCCGCCACAUGAUUUCUGAUGAUGGGGGAAUUUCUAUCAUGAGAACACCCAUUGGUCAAGGGGAGGACAUAGACUACUUAAUUUGGCCAUAUGAGAAAAGUGGCAUGUAUACCAUUAAAUCUGGCUAUCAUUAAGUGCAUCACAAAAACCAAGCAUUUAACCAUCAACAUCCUUCAACCUCCAUUGUAAUUACGAAGGAUAUCUGGAAAGCCUUACGGAAGACUCAAGCCCCCCCCAAAACAUCCGUAAUUUCAUGUGGAGGAUCUUUAGAAAUAGCCUCGCAACUAAUGACAACUUGUGCAAAAGAAGAAUAAGACAAUCCCCUAUUUGCCCCAUCUAUAAGUCGCACGAGGAGACACUUAAGCAUAUUUUGCUUCUAUGUCCUUGGGUUAAAAGUGUAUGGUUUGGUGGCUGCCUAACUUACAGAGUCAACCUUCAGGAAGUCACCAAUAUUGGCCAAUGGUUCUCCAAUAUUCUGAAGAUCUAUGCAAAAAGCAAGGAUGAGUUAAGGUAGGUCACAACAUAGAUUGCUUUCACCUGGUGGAACAUAUGGAAAACCCGGUGUAAUGCUGUAUUUGAGCACCAAAGACCAUCCAUAGAAGCAACAAUUUAUGCUACCUCAAGUGGUGUAACUAGUUUCCUUGCUACCCAAACAACCCAUACCCACAACAACAUUCUGAGUUUGAACAACCAUCAAACUACUCCAUCUGUCUGGUGACCCCCAUAUGGAAAUACCAUCAAAAUCAACGUGGAUGCUGCAUGGAACCCGAGAAAUGGCAAGGCCGGACUUGAAAUUAUAAUUAGAGACUCCCAAUGCAAGUUCAUCGCCACAAAGAUAGUUCAAAUCACCACAAGUUUUGUUUUGGAAGCCGAGGCUUAUGCACUUCUUUGGGCAUGUUUGCUCAGGAGAGGGGGAAAAGACAUGUAAUUCUUGAAUCGGAUUCAAGGUCUAUGACUCAAUGCUUAAAUGGUAAUAUUGCCAGAAGGGCUUGGACAUUGUAUCCCAUCCUGAGCAAGUUCAAGCACAACUACAAAAAAGCAAAAAGACGACGGUAAAUCACCGUCGUGUAUUGGGUUUUUCAAUGGUCGUGGAAUCCACCGUCAUCUUUUCCCUCAUAAACCACGACACUAAAUAACCGUCGUUGUUAAAAUAUACAACGUCAUCAACAAAUACAAAACGACGUCUUUGUACUGCAAAAAGAUCUAAAAAAAGCAAUCGAGGAUGAUAAUAGACGACCAACUCUCUAAAAAAACCGUCGUUAAAAAGGAAAAAUAUGACACAUUUUAACAGAACAAGGCCGCAAGAUAGACAUACAACGACGAAAAUACAAAUACGACGACGUUAAAUAUAAUUUUCACGACAAUAAAAAAUAUGACGUCUUUAAAUACAUUAGAAGACGACGUUAUUGAUACCUACUACGUCGCAUAUAUAAAAACAACCGUCGUAAAAUUAAUUUUCCACUUCGAUUUUUCGAUAAAAGAUGACGUGGAAAUAGUUGUCAGUGUCAUUAUUUACGACGUAUAUGUUAAUAGAGUAGACGUUGAAAAACUAAACAACGUCGGUUACAAAUAUAUGAGAGUCGUAUUACAAAAUUUAUAUGUCCUAUUUUCAGAAACAAACAACGACGAUAAAUAUUAGACGUUGUUAAAUAAAACAACGUCGGAAACAUAAAACAGACGUGGUUUAGUCUGCUAAGUUCUAGAAAUAGUCGAGGAUGANNNNNNNNNNNNNNNNNNNNNNNNNNNNNNNNNNNNNNNNNNNNNNNNNNNNNNNNNNNNNNNNNNNNNNNNNNNNNNNNNNNNNNNNNNNNNNNNNNNNAAAUACUUCCCGACCUCAAAAAUUUAUGAAACUUUUUCCCAUCAUAGAUUGCAUUUUUGUUAGUGUCUCUGUAUUUAUAUGUAUUCAUUACUCACGACGCACUUAAUAAUAUAGACGACGUUGAACUUCUAAACAACGUCGGUUCCAAAUAAAUGAGAGCCGUAUUACAGAACAUAUAGACGGCGUAGAUUAUGAUGAGAGCCGUAUUAUAAAUAACGUCGUUUAAUUGUUAUUAGACGGCGGUUAUAAUGAAUUUCUGUCGGAAUUCAUUUCGUUCCUCUUCGUUUAUAAAAGAACUUGCGACGUGGAAAAUGUAUGAUGACGUCGUAUUUUUUAACGUUCAGAUUAUAUAUCUCGUUUUUUAGACGUCGUUAUUAUGGGAUUGGAGUCGUGUUAUUUUGAAUUACAUGGCGGUUCUUAAUCCUUCCCCGACGUGAUAUCCUGGAUAAUUGCUUCACAAUAGCGUCGUGGUUCUUCAUUGUUACGUUGCUUUAAGACGUCGGUAAAUAUGCUGAAUAAAUGGUUCACCAUAACGUCGUGUUUUAUUUGAACAGACGUUGUUUUUUAUGCAGAAUAUAAUGAUGUAAUCUGGAUCCAGUAUUUUUUGCACUGAUUGUUUUGUGGCCAAAACCUGUAUAGUGAAAGUGAAGAAAUUACAUUACAAUAUAUUAUAAAAUGAAUGUCAUACACUGCCAAUUACAUAAGCAUCAUUCAAUCCAUAUAUCUUCACACCCACCUCGAAUAUUUUGAGCACCUAACUCACCCACCAGUUCAUCAAAUGUGUCAACAUUUGACAUCCCUCUAGUAAAUGGCUCACACUCAAUUAUCACAUCACCUAAGACUUCAUCACCAAUAACAUCAUUAUAUUCUCUAUUAGGCAUUGAUAACACUACCGACCAGCCACGAUGCAUCGGGUCGUCAACAAAAAAUAUUUGUUUGACUUGAGAAGCCAAAACAAAUUGGUCAUUCCUAUGUCCAAUUUUACUCAAAUCUACAAGGGUAAAUCCAAGUUCGUCGACUACAAGACCAGAACUAUCUAUCCAAUCACACCUAAAGACUGGGAUUGUAAACUUUUGGUAGUCAAGGUCCCAAAUUUCUUGAAUGACACCAUAGAAACCCAUAUUUGAGAGAAUUGGGUUUUUAUCCUUGGCACUAGCAACUUGCAUGGUAUGUGCAAGUAAAUAAACUCCACUAUUUUGAGUUGUCCGCACAUCAUCUUGUGCCUUGAUAUUGAAUUUAAUACCUUUAAUAAGAUAGCUCCUAUAUAAUGGCACUGCCAUGUUUGGACCAGCUGCUAGCCACCUUAAAUUUUCUGAUACGCCAUUAUUGUCUUCCUCAACUUCACUUUGAACCUGCAAAUUAAUCAUAUCUUAAUUCAUCCUAACAUAUAAAUAAGAAGAAAAUUAAAAGAGAAAUACGUUAUUCAACAACAUAUACCUUGAAGCGUAGCCAUUGAAUGAAAGUGCUAUUGUGCUUAUUCUGCAGCCACUUUGUUCUCUUUCUAAAUUUUGGAUAAGCAGUCUUGAUGUGGAUCAUAUGUUGCCUACAUGACACGAAAAAUUCAAGCAUUACAGUCCCAAAUAUAUAAGAUAAACAUAAGAAAUAAUUUAAAAUGGAAACUUAAAGAAUAAAACUCAUACGUACUCGAUAUAAGGUAGGACUUCCUCUGUAUUCUCCAAGACAUAUAGAUGUGCUUGAUUCAACAGGUCCUGAUCAACUACGCUCACUGUGCAACCUGAUAAUGGCUUUGAAACUCCCAUCUUUUGGCUUGAAGGCACUCCAACUGUACUAACAUCAGAUAAAUGCUGAGUACAAAACUCUACCGAUUCUUCAGCUAUAUACCGCUCAGCAAUGCAACCUUCGGGACGAGUACGAUUCUGAACAUACCCCUUCAGCACUUUCAUAUAUCUUUCAAACGGAUACAUCCACCUAAAAUAUACUGGCCCACAUAGACGAACUUCUCUGACAAGAUGUACUACUAGAUGAACCAUGAUAUCAAAGAAUGAAGGGGGAAAGUACUUCUCAAGCAAACACAGAGUAACUACUACAUCUUCUUCCAACUUAUCUAGCUUGGAAACAUCAACAGUCUUUGCACAUAUAGCAUUGAAGAAGAAGCACAAACGAGUUAUUGCAUACCUUGCAGGCUUCUCCAAAACAGAACGAAUUGCCACAGGGAGCAAUUGUUGCAUUAAGGUAUGACAAUCAUGUGAUUUAAGGCCAAGAAGUCUUGAAUCUUGUAAAGAUACAAGAUUUUUAAUAUUUGAAGAAUAACCUUCAGGGACCUUCAUACCAUAGAAAGAAUUGCAAACCUCUCUCUUCUCUGCUCUUGACAAAUUCCAAGGCCCAGGAGGCAAACGAGUACGUCUUUCUCCAUACUCGGGUUGCAAAUCAGUUUUGACCCCCAUGUUCAAUAAAUCUAAUCGAGCAGCAAUCCCAUCUUUAUUUUUUCCAGGGAUCUCCAGCAAUGUACCAAUGAUACUAUCGCAAACAUUCUUCUCAAUGUGCAUAACAUCUAGGGCAUGCCUCACAGGAAGGUAUUUCCAAUACUCGAGAUCAAAGAAUAUUGAUUUCUUCUUCCAACAAACUCUGUCACCAUUUUCAACCAUAUGCAGCACUUCUUCUCCGGUUAAUGGCUCGGGAGGUAUGCCAUAUUCAGGUUUCCCAUUAAAAGCUGCACGUUGCCUCUUAUAUGGAUGAUUGAUUGGUAACCAUUUUCUAUGCCCAAUGUAACAAAUUUUGUGGCCAUUUUUCAACCUGUGACUAGGUGUAUCAUCGCCGCAUAUUGGACAAGCUUUAUAUCCUUUAACAACACAACCAGAUAAGUUUCCAUAGGCGGGGAAAUCAUUAAUUGUCCACAUUAAUGCAGCUCUGAGUGUAAAGUAUUCUCCAUUAUGUGCAUCAUACACUCCUCUAAUCCCAACCCACAAGGAUUUUAAAUCAUCAAUCAAAGGCUCCAAGUAGACGUCUAUAUCAUUUCCGGGUUGUUUAGGACCGGAAAUCAAUAAGGUUAACAUCAUGAACUUUCGUUUCAUGCACAGCCAUGGAGGGAGAUUAUAUGUAACUAAGAUAACCGACCAACAACUAUAUCUGCUACUUAGAGAACUGUGGGGAUUGAAUCCAUCAGAUGAAAGAGCCAAUCUCAAGUUUCUCGGCUCAUUACCAAACUCAGGCCCUUUAUCAUCAAGAAGUUUCCAAGACGGGGAAUCCGCCGGAUGAGACAUCUGACCGUCAAUUGAUUUUCUAGCAGCAUGCCACCAAGUCAAACUCUUAGCUGUCUCAUGUGAUUGAAACAUCCUUUUAAACCUUGGAAUUGGGGGAAAAUACCACACCACCUUCGCUGGCACACCCUCUUUCAAGAUUGAAUCUUUGCCUUCCUUCCACCUUGAGAUACCACAAGUAGGACAAUUAGUUGAAUCCUCAUACUCCUUCCUAUACAAGAUGCAAUCAUUGGGGCAUGCGUGCAUUUUCUCAUAACUCAGCCCCAAUGCACACAAAGUCUUUUUAGCCUCAUACAUGGAGGUUGGUAUUGUAUUUCCUUCUGGAAGCAAAUCGCCUUGAAGUAUCAAUAAUUCUGUAAAACAGACAUCACUCAUCCCAUGUUUUGCCUUCAAAUUAUACAACUUCACUAAUGCCGAUAACUUCGUGUACUUUCUACAACCAGGGUACACUGGUUGAUCUCCAUCCCCAAUCACAUUGGCAAACUCAUACGGAUCCGAACCAAAAUCACCAAAAUCAUUAUCAUCCAUAUCAAUUUCUUCAGACACAAAACUGUACCUACUAUGGCCAUCAUCUUCUUCAACAUUUCUACUAGCAUUAGUAGUUGCUUCCCAAGGUUCUCCGUGAAAUGUCCAAUUCUUAUAGCUUUGGUCAAUUCCAUUAAAGUAUAAGUGAUCCCUUAUAAUUCCAACCCCAAACAACUUCAAAUUAACACAUUUAACACAUGGACAACGGAUAUGUGUUGUAUUUAGAAGAUUUUCUACAGCAAAGUUCAAAAAUGCUUCCACCCCAAAUUCAUAUGCCUUCGAUCUUCUAUCCGAGUGCAUCCAUGACUUAUCCAUCUCCGACACUAUAACCUAUUAUCUAUAAUAAAGUGAAAAUACAGGCAAUGACCAUCACUAUAGCAGAUUAUACAAUGAUCUAAUCGCAAGUAAUACACAACAGAGACGACGGGUUUUAAACAAAAACAGACGUAUUUGGCAUAUAUAGACGACGGAUUUUCAACAGACGUCGUCUAAUAUAAGUAAUACAAACGACGGUUUAUGAAAACACCGUCGUGUAUAAUUAAUACAACGACGGUUUUUUCAUAAACCGUCGUGUAAUCGUCGUCGUAUGCCUAAAAAGGCGUCGUGUCUCAGUUUAUUUUCAAGAACACAAAACCCAUUAAGAACACAACAUAUAUAUGAAACCAAGCAAGAAACCAACAUAUACAUGAAACCAAGCAUGAAAACAAUAAAUCCAUUCCCAAUUCAACAUAACAUAGGGUGAUUAAAAGAUACGACAAAAUUAAAUCCAUUCCCAAUUCAACAUAACAGAUAAUGUAAUCCAUGAACCCAUUAAACAGAAAAUCCAUGAACCCAUAUCUAUAAGCACAUUAUUAACAGAUCGCAAAGCAUACACAUAAAACCCUUUAACAAAACAACCUAAUAUCAUUCAAUGAAUUUACAAGGGGAAGAUAGGGUUUGUACUUACAGGUUGGACGAGCUCACAGAUUCGACGGAGCUUGGAGAGUGCAACUUUUAAUUAGAGCAGAAGUGAGAGAGCGAAAUGUUAUGUCGCGCGAAAUCUGAAAAUUUUAGGUUUCAGGGUUCGAAGUAUAAGAAUAAGAGCCAAAUCUAAAAAAAUUUAGGUCGCGCGAAAAUUUUUAGAGCUCGCACGUUUUAAAACGUCGAAAGAAAAACCAAGGCGAAAGUUCUACAAGUACCGACGUAAAUUUAAUAUUCCACGACGGAAACUUCAUUUUUCGGAUUAAGAAUGUAAGGCCGUUCAUUUUGAAGCUUCAUUUUUCGGAUUAAUUUUAAAUUUAUUUUGAAUUUUUUAUAUAACGACGACUGAAAAACCACGUCGGUGUUAAGAAAUUAAAGACGUUGUAAAUUAUAUAAACCGACUUACAUAUUAAAAUGACGUCGUUUAAAGCGUAAACCAUGUCGUAUGUUUUACUGUACGACGUAAAAUAUGUAUUCCACGACGCAACCACCGUCGUUAAAAAUUAAUACCCUAAACCCAUAAAACUAAAUUAUACAAUUUAAAAAAUUAAGUUUAUAAAAGGUUUUAUGGUUUUAAAGCCUAACAUAUACCCUAGACUACCCAAAAAUUAUACUUUAAAAAUAAACCCCAAUAAAUAACAACCCUAAUCUCUAAACCCUAGACUCUAAACCCUAAACCAUAAAACUAGAAGUGAUUUUAUGACUCAUCAAAAUAAUUUUGUUUUGGAUGGUCAUUUUAAAUUUUUGUUAUUCAAAAUGAAUUUUUUCAAGGUUUAUGUGGAAGAAAAUAUAUCAAUGACUUCAUAGGAGUUGACUUUUCAAUUUUCUGAUUUAUUUUAAAUUUAUUUUGAAUAUUUUGAUAUAAAAAUAAUAAAAUAUUCUUACCACAACAACAAACCACGUCGGUGUUAAUAAAUUGUAGACGUUGUAAAUUGUAAUAGACUACUAAGUCGUUAAAAUGACGUCGUUAAAAUGAGAAACCAUGGCGGCUAUUUAACUAUAUGACGUAAAAUAUAUAUUCCACGACUUAACCGCUGUCGUUACAUAAACGUCGUCGAUGAUACCCUGAACCCUUAAGAAAUUGAAGAUGUUGUAAACCAUAAACGACUCAAUUGUUCAAAGAACGUCGUCUAACUAUAUUUUUACGUCGUAUUUGUUUAAAACACGAAACAACAAAAUACGACGGUUUUUGACUUUAUUAGGUCGUUGGAAAAGUAUUACACGUCGGUUAAGCAAUUUGUAUGUUUGUUUUUUUUUUAAUUUAAGAAAACCUCAACAAAUUUUUACAUUACAUAUUAUAGUGAAAAUUUGUACAUUAUACAUAAAUAUCAAGUGUUCAAUAAUUGCCCUGUUUAAUAAUUUGGAAAACAAACUCUGCCCAUUCAUUCCGUACUUCAUCAAUGGCUUCUUGGGGGUAUGAAGCUUCCUGGUUUCCCUUGGCAUACUGCAUAAACAAUGACUAUUAGGGUUUAUAAAUAAAAAGAAAUUCAAUCACAGACGACGAUAUUUUUCAUAACCGACGUAGUAUAUCCAUUCAACGAAGUUAAUUUUACAUGACCGUCGUUGAUAAUACAAAAAACGACGUGAAAUGUAUGAAGGUAAUUUCUUCUUACCUUAUACUCAAACCCCAAGGAAGGAUCCAUGAUGAUGUCCCUCAUGAAGCGCAUCACAUAAUACCCGCAUUCGACAUUGCUGGGUUGCUUUGGUGUGCCUCAGAGAGUUUUCCAAAUUACAUUUUUACGUCCUGCUCGGGCUAUGUGGGUAUUAUAUAUUUUUAAAGCACUGUUCACGAUGUUUUUCGCCUCUUCGUCGACCACACGAUGACCUGGCAGAGGAUCCAAAAAAUAGACGGUCUCCUUCUUUGCUCUUACAAUCAGCAAGAUCCAAUGACGGCUGCACAAAAUUAAUAUAAAAACGACGGUUAUUUACAAAAACGACGUAUUAUAGUAUUUCACACGACGAAAUAAAGUAGAUAAUGACGACAUUAUAUAUUUAUCACGACGAUAAAUAAAUACCGACGUGGUUAGUAGUUUCAAACGACUAAAUAAAAUAAAACACCGACGUGGUUAGUUUAUAAGCUGUCAUUUAUUGAAAAUCAUAAAAACAAAAUCCUAAGGAGACUAACCCUGGAUUGUAAGGCAUCAUGAAAAUCUGUUCACCGUCUGUCUUCUGAAGUCGAGCUGCUACCAGUCGUGAUCUUUCAGUUAUUGUGCCAGAGUUGGCACUAACUGUAGCUGGGUCGAUAAAGCCAACCAUGCUGCACAUAUUGGCUUGUUUCAAAACAUCGUGUAAGUACCUAAAUACAUAAAAUAAUAUAAACAAGUCAGCACAAAAAAACACGACGGUUAUGUAUAAAAAAACGACGUAUUAUAAUAUUUCACACGACGUAUUGAAAUAGAUGAGGAUGUUAUAAUAUAUUUAUCACGACGGUAGUUAGUUAAGACGACGUGGUUAGUUAGUUAAGACGACUCAAUAUAUAAACCAACGAGGUAUUAUUUUAGAAGUACAAACCUCAUAUAUACAGCCAAUACAGUAGCUCCAAUUUCUUCCAUGCCUGCAAAUUGUGUAAUAUCUUCAGGCAGGAGGAAGGUAUCGCGCUCACCACCAAACACCUCCUUAUCAAUUGUAAAUUGGAGUGUCUUAUCCUCAGGCAGGAGUGUCGUUUCCACAAAACGACAAAGGGUUUUUAAAGAAGAUGGCGCCUCCAUAUUUGAAUAAUCACCAACUUCAAUAACCUGUUUAAAGAAAUAAAAAAAAUGACGUGGUAAUUCAAUAAAGACGACGGUUUAAGGAAUAAAACGUCGUCUUAAAAGUAUUUAAACGACGGUGAAAAAACUGUCGUGGUAAUUCAAUAAAGACGACGGUUUUAUGAAUAAAGCGUCGUCUGAAACCAUUUAAACGACGGUGCAAAAACCGUCGUUUAAAUAUUUCAUUAUGUCUUAAAAAAAUUCCGCCGUCUAAGUUGUAAACAAACGAUGGAUUAAAUAAAAAUAUCGACGUCUGAAAUUUUGAAAAACAAAUAAAAAAGGCAAAGUUAUGUGAACAUACCUUGUCGUCAUGCUUUUCUUCAUCUUCUUUCUCCUUUUCUUCUUCCUUCUCUUCAUCUCUUUUUUCUUCUUCCUUCUCUUCAUCUGGCUGAUGUUUCCCCAUUUUGGCAGUAUCAUCCUCCAAAUGUAGGGAUCUCACAUCACCUCCAGAGCAGCUAGCUUUGUCAGACAUUGGAUUUUUGGGGCUUUGGCUAAUUCUUGGUUUAAGCAUGCUUGGAUCAAAAUUGGGAAUUAAUUGGGAAAGCUGACUCAGGAAAUGCUCCCUCUCAGCCUCUACCAAUUGUUUUGUCCUAGCCUCCAUCCUUAAGGCCUCUUCCCUUGCCUUAGCCUCCAUCUUUUUAGUCUCUUCUUGAAGGAGAACUCUUAAACUGUCCUUCAAACGGUCGUCAAAGCUCACCCUCUGUGGUUUGGGCAAAUUGAAAUAUUGCCUUGGGGAAACACCAGCACCAACUCCCCUCACUCUCCUGGAUGCUCGGGGCCCAAAGCCAUGGUCAGCACAUCAUUGCUGCCAUCUACUCUGACUUUGCCUUCCGAGACUUGUUUCUGCAAUUCAUCCUAAAACAAAGAUAAACAAAAAAACACACGACGGUUAUUUAUGUACAAACGACGUAUUAUAUAAUUUCACACGACGCAAUAACGUAUAAACCGACGUUAUUAUAACUUAUCACGACGGUAGUUAUACCGACAUGGUUAUUUAUUUAAAACGACGAAAUGAAUAAACAACCGACGUCUUAUGCUAUAAUUAAAGAAAACAGAGUAGUGAUUCCUAUUUAGAACGUUAACGACGUUUUUAAAAAAGUUUCGACGUGGUAAUAUCAUUCACACGACGCGAAAAUGAACCACCGACGUCUUAUGCUAUAAUUACAGAAAACAUAGUAGUGAUUCCUAUUUAGACCUUUAACGACGUUUUUAAAAACUUUUCGACGUGGUAAUAUCAUUCACACGACGAAAAAUAUAACAUACGACGUAAUAAGAAUAAUUCACAGUUUAAUAAAAAUUUAAAACAGAGUGAUAGUAGGCUUACAAUUAAUUUUGCUUUCUCUGCCACCUUUGGAUCAGGGAUGUUACCAUGUUUGUCCUGUCUAGCUCUCUUCCAUAAGGUAGAUCGAUCAAUUUCUACCCCAGGCAUGGUUUCCUCCAAUUGAUCCUCCAAUCCAGCAUAUCCUUUUCGAGACAAUCGAUGAUUGUACUCGAGUUUCUCCCUAAUCUGUGCAUGUUGAGAAUGCACAGACUCAAAAUCUUUGGAUAGCCUUGAAGCUACAAAGGCAUCCCAUUGUGCUUUCUCUAUGAAUUUAUAUGUUUCAGGGGGUUGGCUUAAUUUCUCCCUGUCAUUGGUGUAUGGAAGGAUAUAAUGCCUCGUUAGUGUAGACUUGAAAUCCUUCCAUUUCUUGGCAGCAGAAGCUAAAACAGAGGUCUUGCCCCCUUGGCCUACGACAAAAGCCAUGUCAACUGCUUCCCAAAUCUGCUCCUUUAUAUCCUUGGGGAUUUGGGACCAUUUCUUGUCCACAAGUGGGAUCCUGGAGCGUGCCAACACACCAAUAUACGACUGCAUCUCAAUAUGUGCUUGGCCAACACCUUUCCCCCUUUUAUUGUACUCAACAAUUGGCCUCAGUUUCUGAAGCUUUCUCUUCCCAACACGAGGCAUUGUGCUCAUACCUCGACCAGUCUUUGAAUCAUUAGAGAUUGUUGUCUGGCUGGUUGGUUCUGUCUCAGCAGAUGAUGAAGCAAACUUCAUCUUCUUCGAAGACUUCAUCUCCUUCGAAGACUUGUCUUGAGGAGCUACCAUUCCAAGCUUCUUGGAGCCAGAAUCCUUAGUUUGUUGUUGAGAAACCAUUUUAACAGACAAAACUGCAAGUGAAAAUAUUUCAGGAAAACAUUAAGAACACAAACGACGGUAUUAAAAAAAUACGACGUAUGAUAUGAUUUUAGACGACGCAAUGAAAUAAUCUCAGACGUAAUAAAUGUUUAAAACCAUUAUUUAUAUAACGUCGUGGUAUAUAUAUUCACACGACGUCAGUAGUAAUACACCGUCGUGGUAAAACUAUUAUUUAUAUAACGUCGUGGUAUUUAUGUUCAUACGACGUCAAUAGUAAUACACCGUCGUGGUAUUAACAUUCACACGACGUAAAACAAUAAGAUAUUUUGUCGUCUAUAUUAGAUACCAACCCUAGUUUCUUUUUCUUUAUAUUUUAUCAAAUAAGGGAAAAACAAAAACCAUUGUUCAGAGAAAUCAAACCUGCAAUUAAACAAGCAUAUAAAAAAAGACUAUUAUUUUAAAAACAACUUUGUCAAUUUUCAGACGACGCUAGAACAACUGACGAACCGUCGUGGUCUACCGUCGUCUUAUUUAGUUGAGGUAGUUGUCUUCAAAGUUGGAAACUUUCCCUCUUUGUCUGUAUAUUUUAUCAAACUUGGAAAGAAGUAAAAUGAUUUUGGCCAGAAAAAAGAUAAAAAGAUUUUUCAAACAAAAAACGUAUGAGCAUGCAAAACAGUAACCAAAAUAGUGAAAAUGAAAGCUUACCUUUUGCGUGCAAUGAAAGCAAGAGGAAGAUGAUCGAUGUUUAAGUUCAGAGACGACGAAGAAGACGAGAGGAAGACGAUGAGAAACUCUGACAAUGCUUUGACAAGGAAAAAAGACGAAAAGGUUUCUCUGGGAGAUUGAAAUUUUUAAUCGGGUUUGGAAACAGUGCAUGUGUAAGUCGAAAAGUUGCUUACAUAUAAAACCAUUUCAAAAAAAUAAUACGGCGGUUACAUUUAACUACGUCGUUUUUAACUAACACGACGCAAUAUUUUUCGUUCGAUGUGGAAUCAUUUCAUUUAACGUCGUUAGGUUUAAUAUAACCGACGUGGAUUUUAAUUUUUAAAUUAUGAAUAGAAUUUUUUUUCCCGUGACCUUUCAGUUUAUUUUUCAAUUACAGUGCGUUAUAAAUAGAGUUUUUUUUCCGGAGGAAAUUUAAAACGAAGGAAAUUAAUAUUCUGCAAUAUGUAAAGUUUCUUUUUUGGAUGACAGAUUUAAAUAAAAUAAGAAUAUAAAAACAACGAAUGUGUAAGUCAAGUAGACGAAAAGUUGCUUACAUAUAAAACCAUUUCAAAAAAAUAAUACGGCGGUUACAUAUAACUACGACGUAUAAAGUACAAAAUACGACGGUAAAUUUAACUUCGGACGUGGUAAAUAAAUACGACAGUAGUGUUGUAGGUACCAUCGUAGUAAACUCAAAAAUUAAAGUACAUAAGUAAUAACUCGCGUCAUGGUAGAUUAUUUAAGACGUCGUGAUUAUUAAUGUACCGACGUGGAGUUCUGUAAUAUACGUCAGUAAUACCGACGUUAAUUUUACAAUUUAAACGGCGGUUUUUUGGUAAGGACCGCCGUUGGUUUAAAAAAUUUAUUCUAUAAAUUUGUCGCUUUCAUUCAUUUUCGCGGUUUACAUUUAGGGUUCCAAGUUCUUCCUCUCUCAGAGACACUGUCUCUCACAUCUCAAAGACAAUAAUUUGGAUGUCUUUCUGAAAGAGAAAUUGAGCUUACAUUUAGGCUAGUUGACAAGAAGAAGCGUGAUAAAUAGAUUUUUCUUUCCCGAGGAAAUUUAAAAUGAGGGAAAUUAAUGUUCUAGAAUUUGUAAACUAACACGACGCAAUAUUACUAACCCGAGGAAAUUAUAAAUAGAUUUUGCUUUCCUGAAGAAAUUUUAAAUUAAUUCAGUUUGAAACAAAACGACGGUUUUUUGUUAUGCCGUCGUUUUUAACUAACACGACAGAUUUAAAUAAAAUAAGAGUAUAAAAACAACGACUGUUUUUGUACUACUGUCGUCGUUUUUCGUCGUCUUAAGUAAGACUAAGACGACGUAAUAUAUUUGUUGAGCGACGUUGAUUUGUUUUUAAACGUCGUUAGGUAUAAUAUAACCGUCGUUGAAAAUUGUCUCUCUGAUUGCAAAUUUGCAACGACGUUGAUCAACUUCCAAAAAAUUGUCUCUCUGAUUGCAAAUCUGUGUCAUCUGUUAAGAUUAUUUUGUAUUUUAAAGCCGUGGAUUUGUUUGUAAUUAUACGGCGUCUUAUACGAAAACCUCGUCGUGUUAUUUUAUGAGUAAAAACGGCGGCUUUUAUUGAAAUCGUCGUCUUUACUUUCUACGUCGGUCUAUUCAUAACUUCUGCCGUUCUUUGUUUGCUUUGAUUUUACACUGCGGAAAUCUGUUUCAAAUAGACUUCGGUUGUUUAAUUAGGUACGUCGUUGUUUUUGAACAGCCAUUUGAAUCUCCAUUUUUAGUUGUCUAAGGUGGUAUUACACGACGGUGUUUUUAGAACCGUCGUCUUUUUAAAAACCACGACGGUUUUCACUUAGACCGUCGUUGUUUUCUGGUCGUCUUUUUCGCUUUUUGUAGUAGUGAAGGAGCAACUUUCCAACUUUUUUAACUGUCAUUGCUCUUGGAUUCCUCGUUUAGCGAAUGAAGCGGCCAAUCUUUUGGCAACGCUAGCAUAGUAAACGAUGCCCACGGAAGUGUGGGUUAUUAGACCCCUAUUUUUCUUACCCAUGUUCUAAACAAAGAUGGUCUCCCCUGCCCUCCAAGUAUUUAUAGCUCCAUAUUUCCAGUUGGAAGGAAUGGAUGCGUGUUAGGCUCUACCUAUGUCCUUGCUCAUGUAACUCCUUUAGCUGUUUUAUCUUUGGCACUAGCAGUGUUUUGCUUUUGGCCCCUUUUAAAUUUGGUUGGUUUCUAACCUUAGGCACCAUGUUGUUUCCCUUUGUGACUGGGCCCUCUUGAUCUGUUGCUUUGUGACUUUGCCGUCUAUUGAAUGCAACACUUCAGUUCAAAAAAACCCAUAUCCAAUACUGUAACUCCUUUUUAACAAUUACUUCAAUCAAUACAAUACAACAAUUCUCUCAAAGGUCUCUCUAUUUUGCAUUCACUCUAACAAUUCCCAACCAUUAACACAAACACCAAGGCUUCCAUUAUUCCAUUUCAUCAUCAUCAUCAUCAUCAUCAUCAUCAUCAUCAUCAUCAAUACCAAUUUUAUCUUCCUCCCUAUAAGGGGUGAAGAGGAGAAGGAAGACGAAGGGAGAUGAGUGGCAAUCAUGGCAGGUAGUGUGGAGAUGAGUGGAGGUCAUGGCAGGUUUUGGAGAUUAAGGUUGUUGCGUUCAGGAGGGGUAGCUGUUGGGAAUUCAGAAGAUAAAAAAAAAAAAGAAUAAGUCCAUCUGUAAACAAAAUUAAUUUAUGUUUUAAAGUAAAUACAUGACAAUAAUUGAAUGGGAGUAUCACACGCUGACGUGGUAGAUCUAUAUCACUUUAUAAUUUCUUCAUCUCCGGGACAAGCUCCAGCUUGCAGCAAUUUAAGAAAGAAGUAUAGAUGUAGUCAUGUGCGUAUGAGAGAAUAAGGGAGAAUUUGAUAGUGGUAGUAAUAUGCCUAUGAGAGAAUAAGGGAGAUUUGAUUGUUUUCCAUUUUUUGUUUUUAUUUGACAGAUUAAAUUGAUAAAAGAGCAUCUUCCUCGGAGAUGUUAAAUGCAAGAUCUAGCUUCGGUAGUAGUUUGACAUAUUGUAAAAAUGUUAACUCCACUCUCCUAUAUGAUCAAAUAAAAUUUUAAGGCUUAAAUGUCAAAAUGGUCCAUGUAUUUUACCCUAUCGGCCAAUUUAGUCCUUGUGUUAUCAAUCUGGCUAAUUUGAUUCUUGUGUUUAUUUCCGUUAGUCAAUGUGCAGGGGCAAUACCAUGGCCCUGAGGCCCCCAGCCCCCCCCCACAAAAAAAAAAAAUCAAUCUAUUAUGAUAUAGCAAUACAAUUACUGCAAUUAGAUUAGUGCUAGCCCUCCCAGUUGAAGAUGAAAAAACUAUGUGGAAGUGAUUUUGAAAUUUUGGCCCUUCCAUGUAAGAAUCCUAGCUCCGCCACUGUCAAUACGGUCCUUCCUUUGCAAAAUCUACUGCCUUUUGUUUUGUUUUUUCGCGAAGUCUGCUGUAUUCUUUUCUUUAUUUGUUGUCUGUGGCAAAAGAUUUUGGAAGAAGGGAAAAAAAAAAAAAAUUCUAUCUGGCUCACCAUCAACUACAACACAUUAGAGACAUAUUAUUUUCUCAAGUUUACUUAUAUUCUCUUUCAAGAACGGAACAAUACAUUAACCAAAUUAUAUUGUUCUUGUGUUUACAACUAAUAAAUAUGUGAAACAUAAUUAUUUAUGUUUUUGCACUUUGCAUUUUUGAAGUUUAUUCGGUUGAUGUCAAGAAAUUUUAACAGAUUCAAACAAUGAAGGUAAAAAUAUCAUUAGAUUUUAAGCUAAAGAGUUUAGCUAGCUCGCUCACCGAAAAAUUCUUGGUUCCACCCUUGAACUCCACCUAAACCACAACCACUUCUCUGCAGCAAAAAUCUGGGACAUUCAUGCCAACACCACUUAUAGUGCAAAUUCCGUAGCCGUCUCGAAUCCUCGUCAUCCUUCGCACCUCUACCACCCUCGAACUCGAUUGUCCCAACAUGACUUGCGCUUUGCUUCGUCUGGGCGUUGGUCAAUCCAAGUCGACAAUACACGCUGGAGUGAGCUGGUGGAUCCCGGAGGUGGUCUUCUUGUGCUGAGCAUGGUGGUUGGUUGAGAAGGAAGAAGAUAAUGUUGAUGUAGUCAUUGAGCGAUUGGGAUCACUUAAGUGUUUUUUGGCGGUCAAUGAAUCUGAGAGGAGAGAGAUGAUGGUGGGAGCAUGAAAAAAAUCCAAGGCAGAAGAGCAAUAAAAUAGUAGGCGUUCGAUUGACUCAAGAACAUUUUUUUUGGCUACUAAAAAACGUUGGAAGAGUGGAGGUUGGGGUUUUAAUUAUUAAGUUCUUUAUUAUUUGAAUAAGAAUAUUUGUAAUCAUUACAAAUUUUUUAAUUGAUUUAAUUUUUUUUUUCAAUUUUAACGGAAUUUGGAUGGAAGGAUCAUAUUGACUAACGGAUACAAACACAAGAAUCAAAUUGACCAAAUUGAUAACACACACUUGAAAGAAUAUUAAAAUAAUAUUUAACAACAAGCUUUAUAGGAUGUCACCCUUCAAAUCUAUGUAAAAUUUGACUUAUCAAUUAUAACAAUUUUUCAUUCAAUUCUUGUCAUUUUAUGUUCAUGUGACAGUUUAAUAUCUUCUUUAGAAAUGCUCUAAUAAUUUCAAUUUGUAAAUUUUACCAACACUUUACUUCAUAAAUUGCUAAAUAAUUAAUAGUUUUCUUUCCUAUGUCAACAUUUUGUGGGAUUAAAACCAAAUAUGCUAUAGGCUUGUGCCUCAAAUAGUUAAGAACAUCAACUCUUAAGUUAGAGAUUACGUAUAACAAAAAAAGAAAACGUUGAUAAAAUAAUUAGCAUUUUACUAAAACAAGUUAAUAUGAUGCGCAAAUGCCAUGGUCUCCAAGUCCAUUAGAUAAUAAGAAAGAAUUUGGACUUUUUCUCUCUAUAGGAUGGAUGCAAUUGGGGUCAAGUUUCAUAUGUAUGGUUUGAUUUUUUUGAUUAAUAAAGUUUCUCUCAUGCAGGCGAAGUUUUUGGGACAUGCCAUCCUAUUUUUAUAUAUUUUUUUCUUCAUAACAUUGCAUUAAUUGAAUUAAAGAGUUUGUUAAGUACAAAUUAUUAAAGUAGUAAAUAAAUUUAUUCAAAUUCCUAAAUAAGUCAACAAACUUCACUUUGAAGAGUUUAGUUUGCUAUUACUAUUGAAGAUGCUCGUAACCUAUAAUUUGUGGAACGAAAACGAGUAAUUAUUAUUAUUAUUUUUUUUAUAUAGAAAUGCUUGCUUUUGCAUAAUUUUAUACUUGCCUCUCCACAUGCGCUAACGCGCCUGCAAGAGGUUUUUUUUUUU
This 68908-nucleotide long non-coding RNA is filed under the name Prunus persica (peach). RNAcentral describes it as "long non-coding RNA (PPER_LNC002480)". The record is from RNAcentral. Lineage: Eukaryota; Viridiplantae; Streptophyta; Magnoliopsida; Rosales; Rosaceae.